Molecule: long non-coding RNA, 71729 nt
Filed under: Fragaria vesca (wild strawberry)
Lineage: Eukaryota; Viridiplantae; Streptophyta; Magnoliopsida; Rosales; Rosaceae
Source: RNAcentral
AAAGCAUUCCUGUCACUUGGGAGGUUGGUACGUGCUCUUCUGAUAAGGGCAAAGGUAAGGCUUGAGCUGUUGGGUGUCCAAAUCCGGGGUGCCCAAAGUAGUUGGGCUUGGGUUCUUUUUGGGCCUGUGCUCGAUCCUUUGGGCCCCUAGGUUUGUUUGGUCCCGCAGUUUACCUAGCAUCUCAAUUUUAAUUUUUGAUAUUUAAUUCUUGGUAACUCUAGUUGUACACUAAUUGCGGUCUCUAAGCGACUAGUUUUACUUCCAAUGAAAGUUAGAUAGACACUUUGAAAUUCGGGUGUGUACGUAGGCAUAAUAAGUGAGCUUAUAUAUAUGCAGUGAGGGCUACCUAUCAGUUAGUCUGUUAGCUUGGGUUGAAUUCAAUAUUUGGCACAAGACGUUAGUUGAUGUAAGUGUUUUUUUGCCGUGGAUAAAUAAUAAAAUUAUUUAUUUAAAAAAAAAUCUAAAAGGAAAUAGAAAGGGUAGAAUUGAUAAUGCAAUAUUAUGAUUUAGAAAAAUAUAUUAUAUGGAAUUGAAAAUAAAUAUUUUUAUUUAUAUGACAUAAUAUAUAAGAUUAAAGCCACAAAUUUUAGGUCUCACCCCCUCAUAAUAUCAACGCCCUUAUUAUGUAUGACUCAAUAACUUAUUACUUUCUCACCUUUUUUUUUUCUUUGAUACGUACGUAGUUUUCUUGAAUUUCUUCCAAUACAUCAACAUGAUUAAUUCGUUUUUAUUGUUUUGGAUGAAGGUUUAACCAAGAUAACUACAAAGCCUAAGGAGCUGGGGUCCAUGCAUCUCGCCUUAUUCUAAAGGGUAGGAAGUGGCUGUUGAAGAUGCUCGAGGAGGAUGGUUUGCUAGAGGAGGUAAAUCCCUCUACUGAUUCUUCAGAAGCAAUGGAAGUGGUUGGCAAAGAGGUAACUCUGCCUCCAAAGAAGAAGCUUUCAACUGAAGUUGCUACAGUACAUGGAGAUGAAAAAGGCGGUAGUUAAAGUGGUGAACUCCACUUCGAUUAUUACAUCUGCUUGAUCGGGAGAUCGACAAGAAAAAUAAGAAUUAUGUUGACACAGUUUAUAACACUUCGGAGUUUUUAAUCUCUUUGUUUUUGGUUUUAUCUUCGUAGAAGGUGAGUGUAUUUGGAUUUAGCUAGGAUAGUUUGUGUGAGAAGCGUAUUAUGGGCAUGUCGUUAUUUGUAUUGUUUAUUGAGAUUCAUUAAUGAAUAACCUCUCUUUACCAAAAAAAAAAAAAAACGUCACAACAAUGGAAUCACGAGCGAGUUAAUUGGAGCAUCAGAUCGUACUUUUCUAUCAUCUAUGAUCACUCACAAUAUCAAAUUCCACAACGUUGAAAUUUCAUAAGAAAUGGGAACUUGUAGUACGUGUCUCUACGUACUUGCCUCAUAUGGUUACUUGCCCCUACUUGCUUUCUCUCAACAAAUAUUGUCAUACUAGUCCUCUCUUUUUUCUUUUUUUUUAUCACGUUUGAAUAUCCAGCAUUUAACCGUCCAAAAAUAAAAAUAAUCUUAAAAAUUUAUUAAGUACGUUUUAUCUAAAUUAAGUGUCUUUCUAGUAACUUUCGUUGAUGAUGAGAUUGAAUAUUAACAUGCACUCUAUGAUCACAUCUUGCUGAUUCAAGUGAAAAAUUUAGUAAAUCAACAAUCUGUUCGAUCGGUUAUAAUUAGUACUACAUAAAACAACAGUGAUUGAUUCGAUAAUAAAUCCCCUUAUCUUGAUGCCUUAUACAUAAGAAAUAAUUGGAGUAGUAGUUUAAUAUAUGAAUUCGUCAAUGUAGGUGCUGGAUAUUUCUCUAGAGCAGUUCGCAAAUGGUGAUGCAUGCUUGACGCGGAGCUAGCUCGAUCGCAAGUAGCUGGGAACACAAUACUGGAAUUUUCAAAGUCAUGCAGUAGCUUUGACUAUGAAGAUCAUGACUGAUGGAUCCGAUCGCCCCUCAUAAUAUCAGCAAUUUAUUCAUUUGUGUAAUACAAAGUCGGUCGGAAAUGUCUGGUACAAGAGCAAUCAAUAGCUUUGAGGAAAUAGUACAUCUUCAAAUAUGUGGCUAAGCCCUGCCCAUUGAUUUCUGAUCGAUUGUUCAUACGGAUGUCGAUCGAUGACAAUAUGUUGAGUGGCUAUAUAUUAAUUAGUGUUGUCUUGUUAAUUACCAAUUUUGUUCUUCUUCAAAUCAUCGUAAGAUAAAGUAUCUCGCUGGAUCAUUAUCGACAAAAUAUAAAGUCUUUAAUAUAUAAAGAGUAUUAGUUUGUUAAAUCUAUAUGUCAGUUCAAAUAUUGGUGAACAACAACAGAUCGACAACUAGAUCAUGAUCGAUCACGCUAGUUGGAUAUCAGAGUUUCGAAUGUGUGAUUCCCUUAAUUAAAAUCUUGCGAGAGUGCAAAGUACCUGAAACUCUGGUCACAUUUGUUUCGCCUUCCUUUCAUUCUUUCCAUCGUUCAUACAUUAAUCUUAUCAAUUUGUGCUCCACUACCCAACAAACAAUACAGCCUUCGUGUUUGUGUGCCUGGUAAUAUAUAAUGAAGAACUACAAUGCAUGUAUACACGGAUAUCGGAACUCCAAAUGAUCCUAAAUGAUUAAUUUUUUGCCAUCAUUUGUAAGGUCUUUAUCAUAUCGUGCGUGAUUGAAAGUCGUAUAUAUUCCCCCAAUUAGGGUUUGGAGUUAGCAAUUUAAAUUUAAAGAAAGAACAUUAGUUUGCAUCAAUACCAUUUAGUCUAGUGGUAUUAGUCUUCUAUUUGUAAGUAUGAGGUGCUAGACUCAUUGUAGCAUUUCAGUUAUUUGUUUGAUAAAAGAAAAAACAUUAGUUAAUUAAUCUAUAAUUAAUUUGGAGUUGAUUAAUCAAGAAUAAUUCAUGAUUUUAAUAAAUAAAUAUUUAAAUUCCUCUCUAACUUUAUGUAUCAAAUUUGAACGUUGGGAUAUGCCAUCACCUUGCUUGUACCAAACAAUCUUCUAUCUUAGUUUUAGUCAUUGCCAAACUCUGUCAGGUGUUAAUAAGGGAAUCAGAUCCUACGCCAUUCCCAUAUUAUAACCUUGAUCUGAUCAAAAACUCAAAUGUGAUCCAUUUUAAUAUGAAAUUCACACCCUGUCCCAUGUGUAACUCAUAAGUGCUCUUGCAAUAUAUUCGUGAAAAAUAACGACUUCAUGUUAUAUAUAUAUAUAUUGACCUAUCGCUACCUAGUGUGUAAGUUGUAUAGCAAUUAGCAUUUCAUUCUUUAAUUAUAAAUCAUUAAUUGGUCACUUUCUUCGAAAUUGGCAAUGGCAUUUCUAUUUGCUUAAUUGCUUGCUAUGUGAACUAAUCCUUAUCAUGCAUAGUGUGAUUAGCUAAUUAAAUAAAGAGUGCAUUGUUAAUUACAAUAACUGAUAAGCCAGCUUCAUAAGAAACAAAGUAUGAAUGAUAAGCUUUCAAUCAGUAUCAUUAACGUCUUAAAAGAAUGCGUUAGAUUGGAUUCUUAUGUUUUUGAUAUCGUUUAUUCAAACUUGCUGAAGGGCCAGCCUUUGCCGCACAGAUCGAACUUCUUCUAAUUGUAUUCUAAUUAGUUGAUUAGUCGUCUAUAGAUGUUCAUGUCAAAUUCGUAUAUACCUGAUAUGAACGCUCACAAUUGACCAGUUUGUUUCGUAAUCCAUUUUGUUAAGCUUAUUAGCACACACUCGAGUGAGGCAUCCAAAAUCUAUUUUCUUUAAUUUCCUUGCUCAAGUACGUAGACGAUUUGAUAUACUCCAAAUUACUCCAAUUAGUUUGUAACAGACUGUGGUCAAUGAAAUUCGCGUUUUUGGACAUUUGUAGUGAAAUUUUAGUUUUUUUCAUUCUUAUUUUACCAAACAAUGUGUCAUUCUCAAAUGACUUAUCUAAUAGUACUCACUAAUUGUUAGAUACUAUUGUAUUUGAAAAUACGAUUCUCGAUCAUUCACAAUUUGACAACUCAACAUAUGAACCGUAAGUAUAUACUCUUUUGUACUACUAACCCGACCUCGUUAAAUACUAGUUAUAUACCCGAACACAUGCUUGUAAGUGUGACGACUUUUUCGAUCGGUCCAGUCAGUACGUAGCCCUCAUAAGUUGUCAUUUACGAACAAAGCAUAGUUGAAUAUUGAGCAGACUACCCGUCACCAAUUUCUCAUACCAUAUUUGAUAUAUCCAUCCAUACAAGCCAAACCAGAGAAUUCAUACCGGUGAAAGCUACAACAUUACCUAUUCUAUACAUGGAAUCAUAUAUAGUACUAUUUUCCUCAGUACUCAUUCGUUUGGGGUCAAUGCCGCUGUUCAUACGCAAAGAGCAGCCACACGUAUACUUGCACAGAAACUUUGGAUAGAGGUUUGGUAUUCUUCUCGAGCUUGAUAUGUUGACGAUUCGAAAGAAGCGAAAGAUUUCCUGGUUGCUCUCUGUCUAUUUAUAUAAGAUCAACUCAGCUGGCUAGUCAACUCCCUUGAACAUCCGGCAUUGUAGUUUUCUGUGCUUUUGGAAAUAUGUUGAACUGAGCCACAAAGCGAUUCUGAUCUCUCUGUUUUUCGCCUUCGUAAAGUAGGCAGAGACCAAGUGUUUACACAGUGAAAGGGAAGAAAGAAAAGUCUUAAACCACAUGUUUAUGAUUCUAAUUAACUUAAUCUAUAAUCUUCAAAAUUCUGGAGCUAGACAGAUUCGCUUCCUUGUAUGCAGUUCUUUUGUUUUUGUUUUCCGAUAGUGGGUGUCAUUUCCAGCACUGAAAGGUUCUAGUUGAUGACAUCUUAAUCCAGAUCAUCAGAUUAUGUUUCUUUCAUAGAUAGAACUUAGAAGCUUCAUAUUUGACUUUGGAAAUAGGCCCUAAAAGAGCCUCAAUUUCAGACUUCGCUAGUCUUCUGGUUUUACUUGUAAAGUAGAAAGCUGCUUGAUGCUUUUCUCAGAUUCCUCUCCUAGCCGCAACAGUGACUGGGAAUUUUGACCCAUCUUGGAAUACAGAGCCCCUUGCGAAGCAGCUCCGCUCAUGAGUCCUUUCAUCCAUCUCGAAGACUCAAGAGAGAUAACUAGUCUGAAAAGAUCUAUCAUUAACAAGUUCACAAUCCCAUUGAGACAUUCCACAUGGAACUCAACAAACUUGUAUACUAGCUCUGCGGUAAGAACACGAGGGGAGAUAAUCUGGCCAAACAAUGAGUGUGGACUUUGUUAUGGUUUGGUAUCCCACAGUAGAACCAUCCAGCACGACUGAGUUAAGAAACAAAGUAAUGUUUGGACUCAAAGCACGUACUGCAGAGAGCCACAUAUGUUCCAAUAACUCCGUUUCAUCACAGUAUGCUUACACAAGGUCUAGAGACUUAUAGUUGGGGGUAUAGAAUUUCUACUACCAAAAAGACUAAAGAGAUGAAAAGAUGAACACAAACAAAUACUAAUUUUCAACAACAGGUCUAUUUUUCCAAUUAGAAUUACCCUAAUCUCUCAUGUUCCUUUAUUUCUUUGUCAACAAAAGAAUUAAAGGAUAGAAAGAGAGAGGGUUACAAGUAAUACUCAAACAAGUAACUAGUAAACGAUAGUAAUGCAUAAAAGUCCUCCUACGCAAAUUUACUUUCAACAUCCCACAGCAAGAAUCUAAAAAUCGUACACAUAACAGCUACAAGUUCAAUGAAAACUGACAAUCCCACUUUUAGACAUUAGUAGCGGUCAAAAGAAGAUGGGCGGCCUCCCCUGCUAGGGCGGUCGUAAGGGCCAGCCCUGCUACGGUAACCUCCCUCAUCUCUUGCUGGACCUCCUCUUCCAUAUCUAUCACUGCCACCUCUCACUCCACCAUCCCUGUCAUAGCCUCUGUCUUUUCCAUAGCCAUUUUGGGGGUAACGAUCAGAACCACCAUAUCUGUCACUAGCGAAACGAUCACCAGCUGGGUACCUGGAGAGAAUAAGUGCAGAAAGUACAGCAUAAGUGCAACUGUAUAAUUAAUUUUUUUUUUUCUCCCAUCACAUGUACAUAAAACAAAAUGUUUUAUUUAAGCAUUAAAGAAUAUAAAAGGGGGUCUGAAUGCACGCAACUCAAGUCUAUAAGCUAUAACCAUACAUAACGACAGAAUGGAACAAGUAGUGGAGAAGUAAUUGAUACCUGUCACUGACAUAGCGAUCACGGCUCCCAUAUUUGUCCUCCCUGCUGUCAAAACGAUCCCUAUCUCCAUAGCGCCCUCCAUCAUAACGGUCAUCCAUGUAGCGAUCAUGAUCUCCACCAAAGCGAUCCACACGCCCACCUCCCCCAAACCUAGAAUGUGAAGAGAAUGAACCUCCCCCUCCACCUCUUCCACCACCAGCAGAUGGGCAGUCUCGAGCCCAAUGUCCUGUACGCCCACACUUGAAGCAUUCAUCUUGGCCCACAGAUCUAUCACCACCUCCUCCAUAGCUUCUCCUGCCACCAGAAGAGUAUCCUCCCCCUCCUCCUCCUCCUCUAUAGCCAUGAUCAGAAUCUUCACCUCCCAUCCUGGGUUGGGCUUUGUUCACAGAGAUAGUGCGGGAACCCAAUUCCUGUCCAUGCAUCUCCCGGAUUGCAUCUUCCAUUGCUCGUCGAUCUCCAAAUGUGAUAAAACCAAAACCACGAGGACGCUUUGUAUCUCUUUCCAGCAUGAUCUGCAGAAAUUCUACAUUAGAGUGAUCAUACCCAGCGUCUACAUAAACAAAAAAAUUAGAGUGAUUUCUUCUCAACACAAUGAUACUUGCAAGAUUUGCAAGUUAGACAGAAAGAGCAUCAAACAACAAAAAUUAAGGAUGCAUUGCAUUAGACAUGUAUGACUCCACCACUCGGAAAAUUAAGGAUUCAUUGCAUUAUAAUAUGCAUUAUAAUUGCAUUCUACUAAUUCGAAGUAUCAAUAUGUAUAAUGUGAUACCACUGAACUGACAAAUGUGUUUCAAAGCAUGAUAAAUAAUGAGAAUACAAUUCAUAUAAUAUAUAAAUAGGAUAGAACAUUGCAAGUAGGGCAUGAUCCGGUUUAACUGAGAAUCUGAGAUUAACAAGCAAUUGAAACUAAACCCACACCGUAAACACACAUCUAAGAGAGGACAGGCAUUAUAAAUUAGACCAAUCAAGCAAUGAGUGAUUCAGAAUAUAUUUUAUCGUGCGAGUGACUAACUAAAGAACAAUAAAAUUGGAGACGCAAUAGGGAUUGUACCUAAAAUACGUUUUGCAACAAUCUAACUGGUAAUUAAAAAUGAGUUUAUACUUACUUUCCUUUUAUAAAUAUGGAUAACAGAGCACCAUUUCAUACUGGAAUAUUUCUGAUACUAGAAGAAUCCACAUCUGACAACAGAUGACCACUGACCUCGAAUUCCCACAACAUCAAAUGUACUGGUUCCAGCAUAAACUGUUCCAGCAUAAAUGCAUAUAGUCUCUACGCCCAGAACACUAUCACUUACACCAGCAGUUACAUCGACACCCCAAACAUCUGUCUUGUAGUCACAAAACCAAUAUUCUUCUGGCAAAGCUACACAGAUCAGCCAGAAAAAGGCAGCUCUUGCAGCAGUUGAUCUUUAAACUAUUCAAAAUUAACAACUUAUAAAUACAUCUAGUUACCCACGGCAGACAUCUCUACUCUGCAUACUAUGACCAACGUGUUCCAUAACUACAUGGCUCCAUCAGUCUUUCAACAAGUCAGAAACAGUAACCAAAACAUUCAUAAACAAGCAAGAUACUCUGUCCAAGAUAAUGCUGAUUCUCUUUCCAUCAACUAACCCUGAUAUAGUCAACACCUGAAAUCAUAUUUGUGUUUCUGGCUUUUUUGAUUUUUAGGAAAAUCCUACAAUUUUUAGUACUAUCAAAAAUUCGAACCCUCAGGUAUUAAGGAGUCUUAAAUCAAAGUUUCAACUAUAAAUACGCUAGAAACCAUCGAUAGAUAGUGAAGCAGUGAUGUUGCUGAGCUCAGACUUGUCCACACAAUAUGAUAAUCAAACAGAAUACUCCUUCUGACACUUUCAAAAGUGAAACUGAUCUGAAUGAUGACUCAAAAGACCAACAGACUGCAUUGCAAAAACGUGGUCAUAUGUGAACUUGCCAGACUGACAGUGUUGGAAGCCCCAGUGCUAAUGUCAAAAAAACUCUACAAGGUCUAGAUGAUCUUCAUUCCCCGCUAAACCAGCAUAAAUAGCUUAAUCAUCACAACAAAACAAUAAUAGCAGAUAAUAAGCAGUUCAAACAAAGUUCAAGUGCAAGGCUCAAAAGCAGCCCUAACUUCAAGUGUGCUCCUCAUUAGCAGAUGAGAGGAACCCAUUGUCAGCCAGAAACAGUUUAGAGUCACUAACCCAGACUAACCCCUCAAGCAUGAACUAACUAAAUCUGACACUUUGGAACCUCACCCAAUCAGUCAUCAGAAGUCUACUAUAUCUGAACAAAAAGUUAGCAAGAGACGACAAAAGCUUUGCGAUAUAGUAGCCACUAAGAAUCUGCCCACAUAACAGAUGAUUGAGUUGAAGUAGAUGACCCUCUGAAUUCUAUGAGAGCAGAAACAUGUGACAUGAAGGAGGAGGAGAAAUUAUCCGGCUCAAAGAUCUCUCAGAAGACAGACACAACCUUCACCGUCAUGUUUUGAAUCAAACCAACCAAAAAUAUUGGCAAGCUGAUAGAUAUAUGGGCCUUUGUUCUACUUAGAAAAAUAAAAUAAAAAAACUUCUUGCAGCAAAAGAACCAAAUCACUGGUUCAAGCAACAACCAUCUGAGGCUUCAGCACUCGAUGAAAAGAACCCAAAAACAGAAAGCAUAACUUCAGAGCAAGAAACUUCUCAUAUUUGACAUGUCAUCUGACUUGUCAUUUAGUCGUUUGAUCCUCUAAGCAAUACUUAUGGUCCAACUUCCCAACAUUACCACAGGACUUUCUUGUGGAACUCGCAUCUCUUCCAAGAGAUUAAACCUAAAAUUAGCUGCCUUGAACCAAACUCCACAAAUCGCGAGACCAUCUGCUAAUGUUUCUAUUUCCUGUCUUGAGAUCUGUAGUCCCAGCAGCUAUAAUCUACUACCAAAAACGACACACAGUCUGCAAACUCGAUGCGACCACUUAACAAAAACAGCUCUACGAAAUAUCCAUCAAUGCACGGCAUCAAAAGAUCAUAACUCCACAGAACAAGAAAACAAAAGAGCAUUAAUAUACAAAGAUAACAGCAAAGUAAAAUAAAGUAUCGUACAGAGAAUCAUCAAAACAGUAUCAAACACAUCUAUACAAUCUAUGUAGUGUACUAUAUCCAUACAAUCUCACUGCUCAAGAUCCCGAUACUACAACACCUUGCGUUUUGAACAGUAAAUUCACCAAAAUCAAAUCAAAAUUAAGCAUUUUACACUCCGAAAACCUUUGCAAGUCUCAAAUUUCAUUCCAACUUUAAAACCGAAAAUGUCAAAUUUUCUUUUUUGUUUCACAAAAUAGCACCGAAAUUCUCAAUCAAAGAAUCUAGCAGCAGAUCAAACGAGAGCCUCCAACUGAUUAACACAACCAAUCUUGAACCUUCUUUUACUAAAAUCCCUAAAUCGAACCCCGAAUUUCAGAAAGAAAUUUCAAAACCAGCAAAAAUUUUUCAUAAAGUUUUCAAGCAAAAGCAAAGAAGCUUCAACCUAUAAAGCGCAAGGCACACAAUUACAAGCGUCGGAGAACGAAUUGGGGGUUACCUGCGCUUCAUGGACUUUGCCAAAGCGAGCGAAGGCGCUCUCGAGCUCAUGCUCUGUGACUUCAUAGGCUAAACCUCCGACGAAGAUUCGGUACUCUUCUCUCCCGGCCAUCUCUCUCUUUCUCUCUUUCACUCUGUGUAUUUUGGUUUGUACCCAAACCCUAACCGCUUCGGCUUCUCUUUCUAUUGCCUCAGUCUUGCUUUGAAUUUCUUUUUCCCCUUUUCUUUUUCUAUUUAUUUACUUUGUAAAUUAGGAUAGGCCCCAAUUUUUGAGGUCCUUUUCACUUUAGUCCUCCAACUUUUGUUUUUUUUCUUUAGUGCUCCAAAAUAUUGUAAUUUUGUAGUAAGAGUUGUUAGAUUAGAUUUGAAUGAGACAUACAACUAAAUAUGACUAAUUUAAUGACUCAAUUAUAUAGUUUUAAUACUUCGGAGCACUGUGUAAUGUAAAGAAAAUCUCCAAAGCAACUAUAAAUCCCUCUAGAAUUUUGUGUCUUUUUGUAGAGAAUUGUAGUCUAAUAGUAAUUUUCUCUUCUCCAUCUUUGAUGUCAGGUCAAGUGACAAGUGUCGAGUUCGAAUCUCAGGGCGAAGCAAAGACAAGAAAGAGAAAAAAGAACUGAUCGAUCUUGAUUCAUUAUAGCAUUGGAGGAUGAAACAAUUGCAAAUAGUUACAGCUGUGAAAGAAUUACAUCAAUGGACAUACAUAAUUUACAGGGCUGUACAUGAAAUGGCACAGGUAUCAACAAGUGAUUGAAGUGUGAUCAACUUUCAGGCUUUUCAUCCCUACUUCUAUUGUUCUGAUAAAAGGGGGAGCCUAGUAACACUGCUACCACCACCCCCACCAGUUAGUGAUUUAGAGUUGGUCGAUUUUAUAGAACCGGAUUUUACAGGUUUUGAUGAACUCUUCUUGUUUAUCCUCAUGGGAAGAAUCUGCAACCUCGGAUUGCGCUUAGUGCCUGAAUUUUCAGCUGCCAACUGAUAACUUUCCACCAGUUCCAGCUGUCUAGCAAUUAUUUCGGAGCAUCUUGGAAGGAGCUCUACUGCCUCUCCACCAGGAAUUACAAUAUACUCGAUUGCAAGUCGAACCUCCUGACACAAACAAAAGGAAAUAUGUGGUACCAUUAAGCAGAUGAUAUAUGCUGACAGAUUCAAAAUCAGAAAUACUGAAAGCAAAUGUGGAGUUGCAUAGCGUACAACAGAGAGGACAAUUUCUCAGAAACUGCCGGUAGAGGUAUCCAUAGAAAAUACGUGGGAUGGGAAAGGAAAUGCACCUCCAAUGCAUCGAUCUCUUCUAAAGAUGGUUUUCUUUUGGGUGCAUCAUCUUCAAUUUCAAUGUCAAAGGAAUUAUUGACAAGCUGCUUUGGCAAAGAGCCAACUGAUUCCAUUUCAAGAAUCAUACGAACUGCCUUCACGAUUUGAGCCAUGGUAUUUGACUGCAAGAUAAACAUCAAAUAUGUGAGUGAGCCCCAGCAAGAUUACAGGCAUAUACAGAUACAAUACAUAGACACAGAAAGUCUAAACGGACAUUACCUUCAUGACAAAUACAGGCAACUGGUGAAAUUUUGCUACACUACGGAUCCAUGGGUUUUGCUUCAUUUCAGCACUUGAUGCUAUAAUUGCAUCUGCUGUUCCAAUAUCAUCAGAUACCUCAAUUUCAUCCUCAAGCCCCAUUACCUUUGCUACUUGCAGUAGGUCAGCUUCAAGGAUCUGCAAACAAACAAAAAUGAAGGGUCAAUUGAGAUCAUCUGCCUAGUCAGCAACUAUUGACAAUACAAGUUCUUAGGGGUUUUGGUCAAAUUACAUCCUUCAUGGGUGUAGAUUUCCAAUUAAAGCAGAAAGUGAACCAUGUGGAAACCAAGUAUUUUACCUUGUAUGUAUAUAUACACACUGGUGAACUUCUCUUCUUCGCAGAUUUAUCACUGCUCAAUCUUCUAGACACAUUGGGUGGAGGAUCUAGAUCUUCCUCGUCAGACUCCAAAACACUAGCAACUAUGUCUGUAGUAACAACAAAAUCUGAUGCUUUCAGAUAGUUGUGUUCAGAGAUUUGAGUAGGCAUGCAAGAGUCAUCAGCAUCAGCAUCAAUACGACGAACUUCAAACAAAGGAGAUUUCCCUAUAAGCCAGAAACCUUCAUAUCAGAUUAGGUGUUCCCUUACAACUACUCAAGUAAUAAGUACAGAUUCUAAAGGAGAAAAUGUGAAGUACCAGCUAGUAUAGCAUCAACUGUUGCAUCUAAUCUGUGAUGAACACGAAAUUCUGUUUUAGAUAUGAUCUCAACAGCACAUGUAAAUGUAGGAGGCCCCUUUCUUUCAAGAAUUGUCUUUUGAACUUUCCUCUUUCUCGCUUCUUCAUCUCCCAGGGUCACACUCUGCAAUUUACAUGAAGAAUUCCUUUAAUCUAUCAACAUUUCUUAUCCGGGAACUGCUUAAAUGGUAAUACCAAUAAUGAAUGAUCAUUGCACUGGAAAGGAUAAUUCAUACAAUAUGGCACCUUGCAGAAUUAAUGCCACUUUGUAUACCCUCUUUUAUUUGGUUAAUCACUUUGUACACUUACAAAAUGAUAAACUUGAUGCAUACCAGAAACACAAUUGAAAAAUGUAUAUAACUCCAAUUUGAAUGAAUAUAGAGUGGAUGGCAUUGUACCUCUAUGCCACCAACAAGGAUUUGUAAAGAAGGAUUCUUUAUGAUGUUGUCUAUUGUCAUUCCAUGUGCAGUUCCAACUAGUUGAACUCCUCUUUGGGCAAUAGUGCUGGCAGCCAAUGCUUCAAGCUCUGUCCCAAUUUCAUCUAUUAUAAUGGUUUGAGGCAUAUGAUUUUCAACUGCUUCAAUCAUAAUCUGCACAAAAGGAAAGGGCAAAAGAGAUUAUACAACCAAAUGAGUUGCAAAAGCGUAAUACUACUGGGGAACUAAAGCAACAGUGACAGAAAUGAGCCCUAUAAUCAAUGUCAACACUCACAUUAUGCUGCAUGUUGACAUUAGGAACUUGCAUCCUCCUUGCACGGCCUAUUCCUGCAUGCGGAACAUCUCCAUCUCCUCCAAUCUCAUUAGAUGUAUCCACUAUUACCACACGCUUCAUAUGCUCAUCUGCCAACAUUCUAGCAAUUUCUCUGCACCAACAACACAUCCAAACAAAAUUCAGAACAUCUUCGCUCUUUGAUUCCAGGUCACAGUAGGAAAACAUCAAAGUAGUACAUAUACCUGAUCAAGGUCGUCUUGCCAACUCCGGGAGGUCCUAUCACCAAGAUUGAACCUCCACCCUCAACCAAGUCGCGGAUGACCUCGGCACUCCCUGACACCGCUCUCCCCACCCGGCAAGUAAGUCCAAUGAUUUGCAGCUUUCGGUUUCGAAUAGCACUAAUACGAUGUAACGAGUUAUUAAUUCCAGAACGGUUAUCAUCCGAAAACUCACUAACCUGCAAACAAAACAAAAUUUCCAAAAUCGAAUAAGAAAACAUACCAAAAAAAAUAGUUCCAUCUUCAUCAAUCAACUUCUAAGUAAGCAUAUAAAAAGUUGCAGUCUUGUUUAAAUUGUUUAAAUAAAGUGAUUAGUUACCUACUAAAGAAUUAAACCAAUAAUUAACACCGCUAACCACCAAAAUGGCUUAAUUACUAUUUCUAGAGAACAAUUGUCACAGUCUUUUAUCACCUUAGAAACAGCGAGCCGGAGAUCUUCAUGGCUGACCGGAGUCUCCGAGAUCACCCAAUCACCGGUCGGAAACCUCGCGAUCGGAGGCCGCCCCAAAUCCAUCACAACCUCAAUGAGCUUCCCGAUCUCCUCAUGCCUGUACAGCUCGCUCUUCAUCCUCUCCGGCAGCAGCUCCAGAAACAUCUCCAUCUCCGUCCGCGACGUGGACGCCGAGCUCCCGGAACUCGAAGACGGAGAGUUACCGGAGAAGAACCGAUCCGAGGGGCGGCGAAUCUCCGGCGCCGGCGAGGUGGAGGAGUGUCGGGACGAAGCGAUUGACUUGUGCGCGCCACGUGUCCGACGAAAUGAGGAGGAGAGUUUGGAGGUGUGGAGAUAGCAGAGGGUGGAGAUGGGGAUUUGGUUGGCCGAGUGCCAUGAGGUCUGGAGAUCGAGUAGCACCAAUUGCGAGCUCAGAGCUCUCAUUCUGUUACAGACUGGGAUUUUGCUUUGAUAAUUUUUUUUUUUUUUUUUUAAGCUAACGAUCGGCGAGAAGAUUCGGGGGUAUCUCCACUGGGAUUGGAGCAUAUUUUGGAGGGAAGAUGGGGCCCACUAACCAAAGAAGUUCAUACACGUGGGGGCUGCUUCAACAGCCACACAAUUUUCCUCACCCUCCUUUUCAUUUUCAGACAAAAUAGAAUUCUCGAAAAUUUGUAUUUCUCUGUUCCUUGGUGUAUACGAUUGUGAAAAAUACACACUACACUGAGUACACGUAUAGAUUAGUCUGAUUCUGCUGAAAUAUUUUCAUGAAUCUCGAUGUAAAUAAUUAAAUACUGACGUGGUGGCUGUGUUGAUCAAGGAUAUAAUUGAAGUAGCUUGAUAUCUAAUUUUAACCCAAGUAGCUGAUAUCUAAUUUUAAGAAGAAAGAAAACAAGGAUGAAAAAGAAAAAAAUUGUAUGAAAGGCUGGAUGGCAAAUCCCAACACGCUUCCAGUCCUAUAGGAAUGGUCCGAAUGUGAGUAGGAGGAAAUUUUGUACUUAGUUGACGUUGGAAACUAUCAACUUGAACCAAACUAAAUGAACAUAAUUUCAGCCGUGCAAGGUUGGGGCAGGUCACUGACAAAGACGGCACCGCUGUGGCUGCUGACUAUUUCGGAAACUCAUACUAUGGUGGAAGAUCAAAGAGAGAAAGAAAUGCUAAGCAGUUGGCAUCUACUAAGAUGGCAAGUUCUAGGAGCAAUGCAAGUCAAGGUGGGAGGUAUGGGGGGUUAUGCAACUGAUAAACGGUCAUUUAUUUAUGCACAUUAUACGGUUUACACUUCAUACUCGGUUAGAGUAUUGCUGCAAUAUAGGCUUGAGGCUCAGAAACUACGCUGUACAUUGAUAAGGAUGGAAGCUGCUGACUAAAUUUGGCGCAAUCUAUUCCCAACCCAUCAGUAUAUUUCUUACACCUUCCUCGAUUUUGUUCCUUGGCACCGAAGGACAGAAUCCUUCAUCUAGCAGGAAUCUGUAGACCUCCCACUCCCGAUCUCGGAUCAUGUGUCUCACUAUCUCAGCCUGAAACAAGUUGGUAAAGAACACAAUGAAUGGUAGAAGGACGAAUUAUGUUGGAUAUCAAACCAAGAUGUAGGAUAUCACUGGAAUAAGACACUUAUAGUGGUGGUUAGAGCUAAUACCGAGAAGAUGCGUGUGCUCAGAUCUUUGAGGGCAAGAGUAAUGUCAUAAAAGACAAGAGGCCGGCCCCUGCCGGACAACUCAACCGGGUUUGCUACCAACAGCUCGGUGUCAGGGCCGCGGUUCACCACAGCCACACGAAGCGGACACAAAAGCUCCGCUCUCAAGCGAGAACACAAGGCAUCUUGCUUCUUGCUGUCAACAAUCUUCUUGCCAUCUGGUUGCACUACAAACAAGUCCAGCUCACAAUUCCCUUUUGUGUUCUCAUAGAAUCGUCCAUAAGAAACCUGAUAUUAAACCCAUAUUUUAUAUACAAUGGUCAGUAUUAUUCACUAAUAUGGUAAAUCACAACAACAACAAAGAGGAGGACUAAAUUGAAUUUUAUCAGCCAAAAAAGGCUAGAAGCACUGGCAUGAUACAAACCUUUUGCUCGCCAGAACUCACUACUGAUUAUAAAUAUAUCAAUUAUACCAACUUUACUUUACAUACAUCUCUCUAGUAUGAUUUUACCUGAACUCCUUGACCCAUGUAAAGUUUAUUGAAGUUUUAUUAGGAGAUUGAGAGCAUACAUCAAGCAUUUAACGUCAAACUAAUUAGUUUCUGCAUACUAACAUCUAUAUUAACAACAAUGACAUGUUUGAUGUGAGAAGGUAAAAUUGUGAACAGACCCUAAAAUUUUAUUUCUCCCCAAAAUUACAUAGCUUAAAAAAGAUGUACCUGAAGGUUGCAAUCCUUUAGUGUUCUCAUGAUGUCAUACACUAGACCUUUAUGAUCUGGACAGAAUAUUUGAACUAGUGUGUGAGAUGGGCUGAGGUUAUUGUCCACUGUUAUCGAAAUGGGAAUGGAGGCAAAAGGUCUUUUUAGGUGGCCGUUGGUCCACUCCAAACUUAACAUUUCUUCAGUGAUUUCAGAAGGAAGAUAAUGAGAACCCUGUGAACAUGCAGUAACUUUUGACUCGGCCAAUUCAAUUUCACAACCCAAUAAGACAUUCCCCAAGACAGCUUUCAGGCAAUGAAUUGUUUCAUCUUGCCGUCUUUUUGUAUGCAGCAGUUCUCUGAUUGAGAAAGAGAAAGAAUAUGAUUAGCCAUAUCUUAGGAGGAAAGAUGAAACAAUCUCAGAACUGACCCUCAACUGAUGUGCCCUCACACAGACACGAUGAUACACUAACACCUAGACCGGUAUAUAAUAAUUGCAAAAACAAGUUUAAAGAACCUAACUGAAAAUAUUUUGCAAACAAAAAUUGAAGGAACCAUGUUGAGGAUCUGUUUCUCUUUUACUCUAGAAUGAAACUUGAGAAGUAGAUAUACCAAAAAAAGAAAGAAAAGGAAAGGCAGAAAUGAUGCACCAUAUAUAGAUAGGGAAAUAAUGUCAAGAGUGACAAACCUGGUAUCUGUAACAAAAAAAAGGUCCAUCACUUUCCCAUCUGGGGUAGUAGACACCUUCACUCUCUCUAUUGUGAGUUCAAGCUCACAAAGAACCUUAGUGACAUCUAUUCAGUAAAAAGAAUCAAUAAUAAUCCCAAACUAAAAAUAUAUAGAAGUAUAGAUGGCACUUUUUUCUCAGAUAUAGAUACAUCGAAACAAGUAGGGUAUACCAGGUAAAGGAAAUGAAAGAAAAGACACAGAUAGAACCAUCACUUCUACAUUGAAGUUGCCAAAUGGAUAUGCACCUCAUUAUUCAUUCAACAUGACCCCUAGUUUGAUUUCUUUUCUCUAAAUGGGGAUAAUACAAUUACUGUACUCAUCUAUGCAUAAAAAUAGAUCACAAUGUUAAAGCUUUAAAUAGGCCAGUCUGAAGAAUAGUUUAUGAGUAACCUCAAUCAAUUUCAUAAAUUACUAAAUUUGGUAAAUUUUAGUUUAUACAUUAUGAGGGAAAUAAAAACUACUGAUAAAGCUUACAUCCUCGUAUACUGUUAUACAUAGAAAUCAAUUAUUUUCAGUCAGUACUCAGAUAUAGUCUAUAGUCUAUAUGAAGAACCCAAAUUGUCAUCAUUAUAAAGAUCACCGACUCUCUCUCUCUCUCUAUCAUCAUAACAAAAGAAGUGAUCUUUUCCAGCUCAAACUGUUACUAGGAUAGUUGCAUUGAAGAUUGAGAAAGUGUGAUGAAUCAUUUAGCAAGAGCAAACAACCGAAACAUUACUGUUAGAACCCAAAUGACAAAAUUCUCUAAGUCUUGUUCAUCUAAGUAAAAGUAAGCUGUGAAGAAUCAAUUCAGAGUGAACAAGUAAUCAUGCAAUGACAAUCUUGGAAAUGAAAGUUUACCAUGCAAUAGGCCUUCCUGUUCAUAAGAGCACCAGAAUUUCAAAAGGAACACAUCUAGUGGCUUCGGCUGCUGAUUCUCCGGCCGAUAAUAGUAUAUCCCAGAAGUGGUAAAGUAUGAUGGACACACUUCUAACAAUCUCUUUGUCAGCAAAUUCCACCUAGUCUCCGGCUUUCCCACCACCCAAAACACUAUGUAGCACCAUUUUCCGUCGGUCGAAACAUCUUCAACACAAAAGCAACAAAAAAUGUUCACUUUCAUCAAAACAGUAUUGAAUUCUACUAAUUUUCCACUACAAAUUCUAUGAUCCAUCAAGAAUGCCUUACUUUCUGCUUUACAACAAAAGAUCCUAAACUGAAGACUCAUUCUUUGUGUCUCUCUAAAGCUCGGAUCGACCAAUUAGUGUUUCAGCAAACUUCAAUAAAAUUCAUUACAUGCAUUCUCAAGAAUUUCAGAUCCAAAUAGUAAAAAACUUUUCAAUGUUCAAAACAAACCACACCACUUUCCCAGCUCAAAAUAAAAAACCACCUCCAGAAAAACCUCAAAUUACUCAGAAAAACAAAGCAAUCAAACCAAAAGCUUAAGAAAACCUCACCUCCUCUGCAAAUGCUCAGCCCAAACAACAAUAUGACCCUGCACAGAUCACAGCCUAACCCAGUUUUGUCGGGGCAAUUCACAGUGACCACAGUGGGAUCUCCAGCCUUCUCUCCCUGGCUAAUCACUACCACGUCCUCAUGCAAAAUGCCCAUUCCCGCCAAGUUCCUCUGUUUUUUUUUUUUUUUUGUUCUCUGUUUUCCGGUGACCAGAAAACUGAGCAAAAAGAUACCCAAGUUGGGUCUGGUGGGUAUCUUCCGAUUCUUGCUCUUGUUUUUUAAUGAGCAAAAUUAGUGGGAGAUUCCAAAUAAUAGAGGAAGAGUUUGAGAUCAGAUAGAAUCAUCCAGAUAGAAGAUAACAGAUGAUGGUUCUGUUUACUUAUGGAAUAUCAAUUUCUCAUAUUUAUCGGUGGGAGAGACUGAGUGAGAGACAGAGAUUAAAGUCUUCGAGACGUGGUGAGUAGGUGGACUCGAGUAUAGUUGAGACUGAUUUUCAAAGACAACUUUUUCGGUGUUGGUUUCCGACCGUCCUUAAUUUUCUGCUAUUUCAUGAAAACUAACAAAUAGAGUUUGGUGAAGUUCAAGUGGACCGGAAUCGUCCUACUAUAGGGGAACACCAUUAAUCAAUUUUGUUUUACAUGAUUUUGUUAUAAAUGAAAAAGAAUUAUGAUUAAUGAUACAGUCAUGAUUUAUUAGUAUAAAAUCUUAAAAAGGAAAUGGCCAUUAAGAAAUUUUUGGUUUCUAUAAAAAAAUAUGUCGACGGCAAGUCCCCUCAUCAUAUGUGGAAAUUGCGAAAUCGGUAGGUUAUUUAUGAUAUACAUACAUGGAGGAAGAUGCUACCGGUUCGUUGGGAGGUGGCAGAGAUAGAGAUCUAGUUUCAAUUAGUGUUGAAUGCCCUUUAUUGUUUCGAGUCAAGGUAUGAUAUUAGACUUACUAGUAGGUCAACAUAUUUAUGAGUUGACUGAAUUAUAAGCUGAUUUCAUGUCUAGUUACUCAUGUUGCUCUUAUGUCAAUACGGCUCAUGAUUCAAAAGUUCAUUAUAAGUAACGUUGCGAGCCUCCGUUGAGAAGCAAAAGAACCUAAGAAAAUUUUGAAUUCAUCGGUAUUUUAGAUAAAAUCUCAACAGUUCAUUUCUGACUAAUUUGGUGCUAAUCUCUUAUAGGGCUGAAUUCAGACGUUGCAUAAUGUGAUAUGUUGAAGUUUACGUAAGAAACUCGUAUGAAUGACUAUAAUGAAAAAUGCACAAAGGAGUACCAUAGUUCCCCAAAUGUAGACCAACAUUACGAAAAGGAAGGAAAACCUUCACCGAACACAUUUGAGAAAAGCACCUCACGCACAACUUGAUCUAGAGUGAGAAAUUGAAAAAUGUUGAAAAAUUAUUCUUGAUUCUAAUAUGCCAUUCUAGAAGCUCCAAAAGCUAGUGAGGUCAUGUAUGAUAUAACUUCGCAUGUAAAAAAAUCAGCUUUUUAUUCAAAAAAUUUAGAUUUUAUAGUGUUUAGCAAAUUAAUGAAAAUCAGCUUUAAAAUAAAUAAAUUACAUGUUAUUGCAAACGCUUUAAGAAACAAUCAGAAUGUUACUUUUAGAAGCUAUUGUCAAUAAAAACACUAAAAAAUAUUACAUUUUGUAUCUGCAUCAUUUUUAGAACUACUAUUACUAAACACAAACCAUUUUAAUUCAUAACUAAUUAUUUUCGUAGUACAACAACUACAUUUUUUCUACUUCUUAAAGUCGCAAUAACAAACUAACCUUGAUUUGAGUUCAAAUUUCCUUAUUUUCACUCAUCCGGGACUUAAAACGUGAAAUAUAAAUUACGUUAUAUGACAUGACACCGAUCCGUAAACGAGUCGCAAGAAACUAUCUGCUACACAUGUCUUUUUUUACAACAAACGGUCAUAAUUCGUAUGACAACUAAAGUUGUAUUGUGCUAAACUAACCCAUAUCUUAGCAAUUCAUGUCUUGUUAUCACACAAUAUAAGAAUGCAAAAAGUCAUAAAGAAACUAGAAAGUUUUGAACAAUUCUUCUACUCCCAUACUAAGCACUUUAGAGUUGUUUCAAAAUGUUUCGAUAGAGCGCGUCCUAGUGACCGACCCUAGCAGACUUGGAGGAGUAUGUUGUGGGAGGACAUAUAUUACAAUAUUGAAGUUCUUCCUAGAGAUGGAGCUCCAAAGACCCAUCUUCGUACCAGCAUCAAGGUUGUGUGAAUCAUCGACAUGAUUAGAAAAAUCCUCCUUAGUUGGAGUGCGGAGAUCGCUCUUCUUGCAGCGGUACACCGACGAAUCAACACAAUCAUGAGAUAUCUUUUGACGAAAGCCUGCAGCUUCUCACUUGGGAGGUUAGUAAACGAAAGCUUACUCUUAUGAGCCAUCCUCUUCUUCUCUCUUAUUCAUCCACUGAGAUUCUCUCUUCUUAAAUAACAAAAUUAUCAUUGAAAUAUCGGCGAUUUAAUCUUUACACAACAUGAGAAUAUCUAAAUAUUGCAAUAUUUGCGCGAAACUCACGAAAUCUUGUUAAUAAAUCAGCCCAUUUCUCUUUAUUGAGAAAUCGAAGAAGCUAUCCAAAAGGUUUUGCCAAGCCUACUCGUAUAUAUGGUCAUUAACUCGGCCCAAACUUAUGAAAUUAACACUAAAGUCUUGGCGUAGCGUAGGUAACAUGAUUCGAACCCAGGUUGUCACAUGUUAUAUCUCACAUUCUCAACCAAUCCUCUUAAGUCUUAAGAUACACUUAAUAGUCUAUUAUAUAAACUCUACAUAUAUUUUCACACUUUUAAACUUUCCUUUCGAAAUUUUAUUAAUAUCACUAUCAAAAUAUCUAUUUUUCUGACAGUCGAAAUUUUCUCGAAACGCGAUAUUUUAGUCCUUAAUUUGAUGCCUAAGCUACUUCGCUCCUCCAAACUGGGCCGGUGUUGGAUCAAACAAACAGAAACUUGAAAGGAGGAGAACGAUACAAGUCAUACAACUACGUUGAUUUUAAACAGAAACUUGAAAAGAGAACGAUACAACUACGUUGGUUUCUAACCCAAUGGAUGCCUAUGUUUGGGCCAAUAUUCCAUUUUCCUUUUUAAUAAUUUUUUUUCUUUCUAGCAGCUAGACAGCUAGUUAACCAAUUGUGAAGCUACACAACUAGGACUUGCAGCGGAAAACGACUACCACGCGUUGCAUGGAGAGGUUAGGUCCUGCAUGCAACUCCGCCGCCCGUAAAUCUCCUACUGACAGCUCUACCCCUCGAUUUGCAGAUACCGAUGUAUAACCCGAGGACAAAACGGUAAUCGUUGAUACUCCGAGCCGGACAUAAAACCAUCCAAGAACAAAGAAGAGAACCACCACCGGAAAAAUGGCCGGACCACCUCUACCUCCACCUCUUCUAACGUGUUUGGUGGGUGUUGCAGUCUUAAUCUGCGCACUAACCCUCUGUGUUGCCCUAGAUGUCAGCCCCCAAGACCCAAUCAUCCACCAAGUCACAGACCAUGAUACUAAUAAGCUCCUUGGAACCGAAAAAGAGUUCAAGAUUUUCAUGGAGAAGUAUGGGAAGAAGUACCCUACUAUGAAGGAGUACAUGCACCGCCUCGGUGUUUUUGCCAAGAACAUGAUCAGAGCCGCCGAGCACCAAGCUCUGGAUCCGACGGCGGUUCACGGCGUCACGCCGUUCUCGGAUCUGGAGGAGGAGGAGUUCAAGAGGAUGUACACCGGCGUAAGAGGUGCGCCCGGCUUAACCAACGGCGGAGGCGGUGCGGGAAGCACGGUUGAGCUUCUGGAUGUUAGCGGGUUGCCUGAGAGUUUUGAUUGGAGAGAAAAAGGAGCUGUUACUGAGGUCAAGAUGCAGGUAGUUAAUGUUACAGUUUCUAAUUUUCGUUUUUUUAUUAUUGUUUUUUUAGGUUGGUACUACACAAUAUAUGUGAUUAACAGUUUCGGACCGUACUUAAAUCCUAGCUUAUUGCAAAUCAAGUUAUGGCAAAUACGAUAUAGAAUUCUCGUAGCUGGUUGUAAAUUACUAAAUUGUGUAAUCUGAAGUCGAUCAGCUGAUCAGGUGCUGCUGGUUCUUUUGUUUAAUUGAUUGUAUAACUAGCUUGUGUUUGAGAGUUUGAAGUUUUGUACAGAAAGAUUUGUCUAAUGGAGCUAGGGUGUUUGUGGAACACGGAAUUUUUCUUCAGGCAAGGCGUUGUAUUGUGAUACUUAAAGCCUCUAAAUCUCUUGUUAUGGAUGCAGGGUGGCUGUGGGUCAUGCUGGGCCUUUAGCACAACAGGAGCUAUUGAAGGAGCCAAUUUCAUUGCCACUGGGAAGCUUGUUAGUCUCAGUGAACAGCAGCUUGUUGACUGUGAUCACCAGGUAAUUAAGCCUAGCCUCUCUGGAAUAUAUUGAAGUACUCAUUUAACUUUAGGGCGAUAAAAAUUUAAUUGAUUGAGCAUAUAUAUAAUAUUUGGCAUGCCUACUUAAUUAGUUUCGUUUAAUGUUUGUGGCAACUAUAAUCAAGUGUGAUGCAAAAGAGAAAGAUGCAUGUGAUCGUGGUUGUGGUGGCGGACUUAUGACAAAUGCCUACAAGUAUCUAAUGGAAAGCAGGAGGGGUUGCAAAGACGAGGUUUCAUACCCUAUACGGGGGAAAAAAGGGGCGAAAUGCAAAUUUAAUCCCUGAAAAAAGUAGCCGUGAGAGUAACCAAUUUCACCACUAUUCCCCUUGAUGAGAAUCAGAUUGCAGCGAACUUGGUCCACAAUGGUCCUCUUGCCAGUGAGUACUAAACCUGAUAAUAUGCUUAAAAAUAGCUAGGCUUUUUAUGUAUCUAUGUGUGCGUACAUAGAACUGCCUUAAGUGUCUUAUUUUCUGAAUAUGAUGUGCACUGUUUAGCAUAUUUAGAUCUGAGUGUAGAUACACCCCACUGAUACAGAAUCUUAAUUGAUGUAUGUAUGCGCAGUUGGCUUGAAUGCUAUGUUCAUGCAAACCUACAUUGGCGGUGUGUCAUGCCCUCUUGUUUGUUUCAAGAAAUGGGUGAACCACGGUGUUUUACUUGUUGGAUAUGGUGAGAGUGGCUUCUCGAUUCUCAGGCUCAGCAACAAGCCGUAUUGGAUCAUCAAGAAUUCAUGGAGCGCAAAAUGGGGAGAACAUGGUUAUUACCGACUUUGCCGAGGCCAUGGCAUGUGUGGGAUGAAUACUAUGGUGUCUGCAGUUGUGACCAGUACUCGGGCAUCCUAGCUGCAUCUCCCGAGAUUAGCUAGUAUACAAUUAUACACUAUAAUAUAUAUAUGCACCUCUCCCUUGUUUUUUCUUAAUCCGAAUUUGAUGUUCCUAUAAUCAUAUUUCAAGAAUAUUAUUGUUAAUAUGCCGAAGUGGAAAGUCUUGUUUACGUCAAAACCAAUUCGAACCAUAUUAUGUUAGCUUUAAAUGCUAGAUUGUCAGACUUCAAAUUUAAGUCGGGAAAAUUUUACAAUGUGUUAAUGUAUGUCAUGUAUUAAUUUUAUCCUAAAAUUGUAAAAUGAGUCUCUAAAAUAGUAAUAUUAGUACUCGAAGUUGUAAUAUAUAUGAGUAGUUGUAAAUUUUAUAGUUACAACAUUAGUCAUCAUGUGUCCUUAAUGUGUCUUUAAAGUAAAUUUUAUAGUUACAACAUUAGUUAUCAUGUGUACUUAAAGUGAUAAAUUGCGUGCUUAAAGUCGUAAUUGAAUCCUUAAAGUGAUUAAAAAAAGUUUUUAUAUCUUUGAGGAUUUGUAUUACAACUUUGAGGACUCAAUUACCAUUUUAAGGACACAUGAGGAUUAAUGUUGUAACUAAUUUUUUUUACAACUUUAAAGACUUAUAUUACAACUUUGAGGACUAGUUAAUAUUACUCCCGUAAAGACUCGAUCAUUUUAUAACUUGAGGACAAAGUUGAUGCAUCACAUGCAUUAACACACCAAAGUUGAUUCUCCACAAGCUUGUUGAAGAACUUGGUAGAAGUUUUGAUUUGUUGAAAGGCUUGAAGACGAGGGUUGAUCAAGGGCCGUAGAGGGUUGACGUUGAUCGAGUUUGGGCCACGAGCAGUUCCAUAUGGUGGUUGCUCUUCGUCUUGUAGUUGGUGAAGAUGUCUGCUAUUUAGCAAUUUGGGACUCUUUGGGAUUUGGCAACUUCUAAGCUUGAGAUUGAUGAAGAAUCGGCUAUUUGGCAACUUGAUGAUUCUUCAACGGUUUUGGGAGAAUUCUGAGUUCUCGGGAGUAAUUUUUUUCUCUUGUCCGGAAGUCCUUAUCUUGAUAUGAGAGGGGGUAUUUAUGGUGUCGAUGCUCCUCCGUAAAUAGAAUGCAUUAAAGUCACAACUUUAAUUGUAUUUCCUUAAUGAUAUAAUUAAAUCAAUCACUUUUGAUUGAUUGAUUCAAUUAUUCAAUUUACUAUAAUUAAAUCAAUCAAUCUUAAUUGAUCGAUUUAAUUAUGACCGAUAAGGUAUUUCACCAAUUUGAUUAAAUUCCGACUUCCUUUUCGAUAAUCGAUUUGAUUUGAUUGAUGUUUGAUUAUCGAUUGACAUUUAAUAUUUGAUUUUAGUCGGGAUUGAUGAUUUUGUUGUCGACCGACCAUUAUCAAGCCGCCAUGUGUUAUUUCCGAAGACUUUUCAACUUUGCUGACUCACGAGCCACGUAUGUAAUUUGUCAGGCCCAUGGGUUGUAUGAAUAAUUUAAUAAUUAUUAUUCUCAUUAAAUUUUAUGCGUCUACAAAUACCCCCACUUUAAGGUGUGUUGUAGUCAUGUUGUUGUCACGUGUCAGAGGUGCGACUUGAAGUUAUUUUUGAUGACACUUGUGGCGUGUUUUGCCAUCCACUCGUUUUUACGUCUGAAAUAUUGGUCCGUACCAUGAUGACAUUUUUGUUGCCUUUGAAAUUUGUAUUUUGAACGCUUGAGAAUCAUGCAUUGCGACCUUUCCAUAUGUUUAGAAUACAUGAGCAAUUUGCAUGCUUAGUGGAUAUGAUCUUCAUUUGAACAACUUCCAUACGUGGCUUUAAAUUUACCCGUCUCGCAACUAUUUUCAAUUGGUAGGAUUUGAAUGAGAGAUGAAAGCUUUUCUUUUCUUUUCUUAUCGAUUGAUGCGUGGCUGACAUUUCCUUCAUUGGUAUAAAUAAUUACCACCUUCUAAAUGAGUUUGGUCUUCUACAAGUAAGAAAUCGUGUAAUGGCUUGAUGACUUCUUGACCAAAUAGAAAAGUGAACGCAUGAUGACAUUAUAAAAUUGUACUGUAGGGUUUUGCCCUAAUCACUGUAUUCUCUUCCGUAGCUAGCCGCCCGCCCGUACUUCUUGUAAUUCUUUCUUCCUUCUUCUUUUUCUUUUUCUUUUUAUUUUUUUAUUUUACUGUAGGCCUCAGUCGUGAGUGAAGUUUGGUACGAAAAUAGGUCCAACCUUGUACCGCGAACUUGACAACGAAAUUGUGGAGGCAGGAUCAAUGCGAUGGUGCCAUGCAAUUGCGUUGUCGUAAUCCUCUCUAUUGUUUGAUUAUUGAUUUUACUAUCGCAUGCCUCCAUGCUUACUGACCCAUCCUUAUGCAUAGUGUAGUCGAUAUAUUUUUUUUCAGUUGCGGCUGAAGGGUCAUCUUUUCGGCAAGCACAGUUGAAGAAAACCCACGAGGUACGCACAGUUGAAGAAAACCUUCGAGAGACCAGAGCCUUGAGGUACUACUUUUGUUUUAGUUGAUUUUCUUAAUCCUUUGGCUUGUCCAUAUGCUUUCCGGAAGGAAACAAAGAUUGUCAAGAGUGACAACCCUCGUUUUUCAUGGUGGGUGAGCUUACUCUUUAAUCAACUUUGAUUGUCAUCUCAUUAUGCAAAGCGGCAAUUUUUUUUCUUCGCCAAGUUCGGCAGCAGCAUGGUACUAACUCUUUUUUCUAUUUUUCUUUUCAGAAUUUUGAUGGCAAAUUGAAGAACGCGAACACCUAACCGCUUGGUUUCUUUUACGUCUUGGACGUGAGAUAAACCGUUGAAAGUGUUUAGGCUUUACGUACCCUGACAGUAAUUGAAGAACAAGAACACCUAACCGCUUGAUUUAUUCCACGUUUAAGAUGUGGGAUAAAUUGCUUAAAGUGUUUAGGUUUUGCGUAGACGUAUACUAUUCCGCAUGGUGUUCUCCAAGAGUUUCAAGAAGGACACAAACAUCAUCUUUGAAGAUAUCGAGGAUAUUGAAAGUGAUGGCACCACCUCUCAUCUAAGCUCGCUCAUCUCUAACAACUUCUCGCUCAUCCUUGAUUUAACUAAUAACUUUGAGAUCAUGGGUUCAAACCUCACAGACAUAUGUAAGGUGCGUGAGUUAUUUAAUAAAAGUUUUUUUUUUUUAAAGAGCUCGCUCAUCAUGAUUUCACCUCUGUGAGCUUCGAGAAAUUUUUAAAUGCUACGGGAGGACCAUGUGGCAGUCUAACGUGGUCCUACGAUCCAAUCAAAUUUAGACAUGUGGAUUUUUUACAACUAAAAUAUAAACAAAUAUUUUCUAUUUUUUGUGAAAUGACAUUCAUGGGUAUUUAGCAAGUUCAAAUUAGGGUCUAGGGUAUAGGGUUUAAAGUUUAGGGUUAGAGUUUAGGGUAUAGGGUUUAGGGUUUAGGGUUUAGGGUUUGGGGUUUAGGGUUUAGGGCUUAGGGUUUAGUAUUAAAAAAACAACAAAAAAUCUAAAAUGGUCUUUGACAAAAUAGCUGAAAUAAUUUUUCGUAAAGAAAAUCUACAUGUCUAAAUUUGAUUGGAAAGAAGGCCCACGUCAGACUGCCACGUGGUCCUCCCGUAGCACUGAAAAAUUUCUCAUGAGCUUCAUUGACGUUUCUUCAACGUGGUGGUUGAUUCAAUUAUUUAAUUUACCAUAAUUAAAUUAAUAAUUAAAUUCAGUUUAUCUCUUUAAACUUUAAGUCGAAAAUUAGUUUGAUCCCUGAUUUUUUUUUUUUAUUUCACGUCAGUCUAUAUACUUUCACAAUUACAUCACUGUAGUCUAAAAUUUGAAUUUGGCGCUGAACAUGACUCUGUUGAUGUAGACCCGACAACAUGGCCCCAUUUUUAAGAUAUUAAAUUUUAAUUUGAACAUAAUGUCCAAACUACCCUUAUCUUCUUUUUUAGGAGAACAAAAAAUUAAUGUUGGGUGGGCUGGGUUUGAAGCCUAGACCUUAUCUUUUUUUUUUUUAAUCACGUCUGACUCUGCUGAUGUAGACCCGACAGCAUGGCCUCACUUUUAAGAUAUUAAAUUUUAAUUUGAACAUAAUGUCCAAACUACCCUUAUCUUCUUUUUUUAGGAGAACAAAAAAUUAAUGUUGGGUGGGCAGAGUUCGAAGCCUAGAGCUUGCUGUCAAAUACUAUGCUCCAAACCACUGGAGUAACUAUUGCUCAUAUACCUUUUAGUACAUCUAUAUUUAUUAGUACGAAAAAAUGAAAGGAAAAUAAUAAAUAAUAAAACUAUUUGUGAUUGUGUUCCUACCAUUCACGCCCAGACCUUUACUCCAUGCCUUCACUGAAGGUCAUAAUCCCAGAAUUUUUUUUUCUUUCAGUUUGUUUAUCCUCCUCUUCUUUUUCUUCUUUUUCCUUCAAAUCAAACUAUCAAAGAAAUCACGCUGCAAAUUCCGACCGGGAGGAUGAAGGGUGAGACGGCUUCUUCGUCGUCGGGGAAGCUAAGGAGCUUAAGGAUUGUUUCUGACGAUUCUUGAGCUUGGCAGAAGAGGGGUUUGAUAGGAAAUUCGGCAUCGAUGCGAUGGCGGAACUUCUCUGCUUUUGAGGAGCUUUGUGGCUGGAUUGGUGGGGUGGGGGGGGGGGGGGGGGGGGGAUUUGGGGGUUUGGGGUUUUCAAUGAAUUGGCUUGGUGGUCGACGGCGAUUCGGAGGUUGAAAUUGAUGGGGUGGCAUCCUCGAGGCUGCGUUCGAGGCCGGGAUCAGAGGGGUGAGGCGGAGGGACUAGGUCGUGGUCGCCUAAAGUUUAUUUUAUUUUAUUUUUUUUCCCUAGUCUCUUUAUUUCAAAAUGUCUGUUUUGUCCUUCUUAUGGGUCAUCCUGUCUGGUCCACAUCAGCAGAUGAUGUCAUGUUCGGAGUCAAAUUCAAAAUUUUAGACCACAUUGAUAUAAUUGUGAAAGUACAAGAACUGACGUGAUAAAAAAAAAUCAAGACCAAACUGAUUUUCGAACAAAAAAUUUGAGGGAGUAAACUGAAUUUAAUCCUUAAAUCAAUCAGUCUUAAUUAAUCGAUUUAAUUAUGACCGAUAAAGUAUUUCACUAAUUUGAUUAAAUUCCGACUUCAUUUUUAAUAAUCGAUUUGAUUUGAUUGAUGUCUGAUUAUCGAUUAAUGUUUAAUAUUUGAUUUUAAUUAGGAUUGAUGAUUUUGUUGUCGACCGACCAUUCACACGCCGCCACGUGACAUUUUCGAAGACUUUUCAACUUUACUGACUCACGAGCCACGUAUGCAAUUUGUCAGACCCCUGAGUUGUAUGAAUAAUUUCCGAAGACUUUUCGAUAAUCGAUUUGAUUUGAUUGAUAUCUGAUUAUUGAUUGACAUUUAAUAUUUGAUUUUAGUCGGGAUUGAUGAUUUUAUUGUCGACCGACCAUUCACACGCCGUCACGUGUCAUUUCCGAAAACUUUUCAACUUUGCUGACUCACGAGCCACAUAUGCAAUUUUUCGGGCCCCUGGGUUGUAUGAAUAAUUUAAUUGCUUCAGUUCUAUAUAUACCGCGUCCCACAUGUUUCAUCAAGUGUCAGAUAAUACAGAACCUACUUCGCCAAAAUGAAGAAAAUUGAGGUCAGUAUAAAUUCCAAACACACCAUCAAACCAUCAUCUUCCUCUACACCACUACAGCCUUACAAGCUUACCCUCCUGGACCAGCUCACUCCUCCAACGUAUGUCCCUAUGGUAUUCUUCUACCCCAUUACUGACCAUGUCUUCAAUCUUCCUCAAACCCUAGCAGACUUAAGACAAGCCCUUUCCGAGACUCUCACUUUGUACUAUCCACUCUCUGGAAGGGUCAAAAACAACCUAUACAUCGAUGAUUUUGAAGAGGGUAUCCCAUACCUUGAGGCUCGAGUGAAUUGUGACAUGACUGAUUUUCUAAGGCUUCGGAAAAUCGAGUGCCUAAAUGAGUUUGUUCCAAUAAAAACAUUUAGUAUGGAAGCAAUAUCUGAUGAGCGUUACCCCUUGCUUGGAGUUCAAGUCAACAUUUUGGACUCUGGAAUAGCAAUCGGUGUCUUCAUCUCUCACAAGCUCAUCGAUGGAAGAACGGCAUACUGUUUUCUCAAGUCCUGGGGUGCUGUUUUUCGAGGGUGUCGUGAAGAUGUCAUACAUCCUAGUCUCUCUGAAGCAGCAUUGCUUUUCCCACCGAGAGAUGACUUGCCUGAAAAGUAUGCCGGUCAGAUGGAAGGGUUAUGGUUUGCCGGAAAGAAUGUUGCUACAAGGAGAUUUGUAUUUGGUGCGAAAGUCAUAUCUUCAAUUCAAGAUGAAGCGAAGAGCGAGUCCGUGCCCAAGCCAUCACGAGUUCAGGCCGUCACUGGUUUUCUCUGGAAACAUCUAAUCGCUGCUUCUCGGGCACUAACAUCAGGUAAAAUCAGUUUAUCAACAAGCCAAAUAAUAAAGCCUAAUGUAUUUGGGGUACUUAUUUAUAUAUUUUUAUUACGUAUAUCUAGUGUACUGUGUACAUAGCUCAAAGAAUGAGAAAAUAUAUGAACUUGCAGGUACUACUUCAACAAAACUUUCUAUAGCAGCCCAGGCAGUGAACAUAAGAUCACGGAUGAACAUGGAGACGGUGUUGGAUAAUGCCACUGGAAACUUGAUGUGGUGGGCACCGGCCAUACUACAGCCAAGUCAUACAACACCAGAGAUUAGUGAUCUUAAGCUGUGUGACUUGGUUAACUUGCUCAAUGGAUCUGUCAAACAAUGUAACGGUGAUUACUUUGAGACUUUCAAGGGUAAAGAGGGAUAUGGAAGAAUGUGUGAGUAUCUAGAUUUUCAGAGGACUAUGAGUUCUAUGGAACCAGCACCAGAGAUUUAUUUAUUCUCGAGCUGGACUAAUUUUUUCAAUGCACUUGAUUUUGGAUGGGGGAGGACAUCAUGGAUUGGAGUUACGGGAAAAAUUGAAUCUGCAUUUUGCAAUUCCACAAUGUUGGUUCCAACACAAUGCGAUAAUGGAAUUGAAGCAUGGGUGAAUCUAGAAGAAGAGAAAAUGGCUAUGCUAGAACAAGAUCCCCAGUUUCUAGCGGUAGCAUCUCCAAACCCCCCAAUUUCAAGGUGUUGAUUAAAAAAGAUUAUGUGGCUCGUGCAAUGUUUCGAUUUUGUAGUGAAUAAGGUUUAAAUUAGUUCACCAGCCAAUCAAUAAGAUGCAAGUAUGAUAGACUCUGUCUACGUAUGUUAUCCGAAUGUGUUUUCGAUAUGCUUGUAACCAAUAUAGCUCUUGUUUGUAAUAAUGCUCUGUUAAGCUUCUAUCUAUAAAGUUAUUUCUCUUGAUUAAAGAAAAAACUAUACAAGUUUUGUUAAGCUUUAUUCUAUUUUUAAGAUAGGAUGUAUGUAGUACCUAUAAAGAUGGUUCACCUAUUAUUAUUUUCAAAUACAUGAUUAUCCGGUACAAUUACGUAGAAUAUUUCUAUAGCUAAAAAAAUGUAAUUUUGAUCCGUGACAACAUGAUUAAAAAAUUACAUAUUCUGAUACAUUUGUUCUCUAACGACAAGCAUGGCCAUAAUGCCUCACCUGAUCAUCUAUGUGAUGGGGUAGUGUCCUUUCUUUUUAAGAGAAGGUAGGCACCUAAUGUGAAGGCCUCUACGAGAGACUAAUAUUGUCUGAUCUUCUUUUGUUCAUCAAAUUAAAGAAACGAAAAUGGCCACAAUGCCUCACUAUUGAUAGAAGAUAGAACCAUACAAUAAUUUGGAACAUAUGCAUGGAGACAAGGAAAUAUAACACAAUAAAACCAUUAUAAUUUCACUUUAUGUGGGAAACUUGGCCAAAACCGAAUCACAUCCACGUUGGCAACAAAAAGUGACUGGAAAAAAAGAGCCCCCAAAAAGCUAAAACACUAUAAAAACCAGAAAACUUGAAUAAGCGAAAAACCAAAAGUAUGACAUUUACACACACACUCUAUCUCUCUCUCAAAGUCUGAAAACUUGCGCAAUAAGGUACCUAGCUCUCUGGUCUUUUCUUUCUAAUGCAUAUAAGUCCCUGUAAAUUUUAUGGCUUUUGGAAUGAUGAUUUUAUGCUUGUGGAUCUCAGAUGGGUUUGUUUUGUUUUGGGAUUUUUAUAAAUGAAUCCAUUGAAAAUGUUGAAAGCUUAUGCCUUUGUUCCUUGGUUCACUGUUCUGGUUUUGUAAAUUGUGUGUACGAGAGUUGAAAUGUUGGUUUUGGUAAAGAGAAAUGUUCUAUAACCAUGUAAGUUAUCUUCUAAAGUUGUUCGAGUACUGCAUAGGAAAUAACGACCUAAACUGCUAGAUGCUCUGAGAAACUUAAUUAUCCGAUUCGUUGUGAUAAAUUAAUAGAACCAUCAAUAGCCGUGAUAGUCCCUUAAUAUUUGGUGGCUAAUUAGCAAUGCAUUCAUGGUAGUUGCAUGUGCUUAUUUUGUGCAGUAUUCUAAUUCUAUCACUUGCAAAAUCGUUGUGGAAGGUCAAGAGGAGAAAACUGAAAAUGGGGCAGCAUGCAUCUCAUUUUAUUUUUUUAUGCAAUAGAGCCCUAUAUAUAAAAUAAAUAAUGUAUCUAUAACCUUCUCUAAUUAAUUUACUUAGUAAUUGACGCAAUUUGGCCGAACUGUUUCUAAACACACUAAGCUUCAGUUCUAUAUAUACCACGUACCACAUGUAUGAAUUCAUCAAGUGUCUGAUAAUACUAAACCUACUUCGACAAAAUGGAGAAAAUUGAGGUCAGUAUAAUUUCCAAACACACCAUCAAACCAUCAGCUUCCACUCCACGACUUCAGCCUUACAAGCUUACCCUCCUGGACCAGCUCACUCCUGCAAUGUAUGUCCCCAUGGUAUUCUUCUACCCCAUUACUGAUCCUGUCUUCAAUCUUCCUCAAACCCUAGCUGACUUAAGACAAGCCCUUUCCGAGACUCUCACUUUGUACUAUCCACUCUCUGGAAGGGUAAAAAACAACCUAUACAUCGAUGAUUUUGAAGAGGGUGUCCCAUACCUUGAGGCUCGAGUGAAUUGUGACAUAACUGAUUUCCUAAUGCUUCGGAAAAUCGAGUGCCUAAAUGAGUUUGUUCCAAUAAAAACAUUUAGUAUGGAAGCAAUAUCUGAUGAGCGUUACCCUUUGCUUGGAGUUCAAGUCAACAUUUUCGACUCUGGAAUAGCAAUCGGUGUCUCCGGCUCUCACAAGCUCAUUGAUGGAAGAACGGCAGACUGUUUUCUCAAGUCCUGGGGUGCUGUUUUUCGAGGGUGUCGUGAAGAUAUCAUACAUCCUUGUCUCUCUGAAGCAGCAUUGCUUUUCCCACCGAGAGAUGACCUGCCUGAAAAGUAUAUAGCUUUGAUGGAAGGGUUACGGUUUGCCGGAAAAAAAGUUUCUACGAGGAGAUUCGUAUUUGAUGCGAAAACCAUAUCUGCAAUUCAAGAUGAAGCGAAGAGCGAGUCCGUGCCCAAGCCAUCACGAGUUCAGGCCGUCACUGGUUUUCUCUGGAAACAUCUAAUCGUUGCUUCUCGGGCACUAACAUCAGGUAAAAUUAGUUUAUCAACAAGCCAAAUAAUAAAGCCUAAUGUAUUUGGGGUACUUAUUUAUAUAUUUUUAUUACGUAUAGCUAGUGUACUGUGUACAUAGCUCAAAGAAUGAGAAAAUAUAUGAACUUGCAGGUACUACUUCAACAAAACUUUCUAUAGCAGCCCAGGCAGUGAACAUAAGAUCACGGAUGAACAUGGAGACGGUGUUGGAUAAUGCCACUGGAAACUUGAUGUGGUGGGCACCGGCCAUACUAGAGCUAAGUCAUACAACACCAGAGAUUAGUGAUCUUAAGCUGUGUGACUUGGUUAACUUGCUCAAUGGAUCUGUCAAACAAUGUAACGAUGAUUACUUUGAGACUUUCAAGGGUAAAGAGGGAUAUGAAAGCAUGUGUGAGUAUCUAGAUUUUCAGAGGAUUAUGAGUUCUAUAGAACCAACACCAGAGAUUUAUACAUUCUCGAGCUGGACCAGUUUUUUCAACCAACUUGAUUUUGGAUGGGGGAGGUCAUCUUGGAUUGGAGUUACAGGAAAAAUUGAAUCUGCAUAUUGCAAUUCCACAGUGUUGGUUCCAACACAAUGCGAUACUGGAAUUGAAGCGUGGGUAAGUCUAGAAGAAGAGAAAAUGGCUACGCUAAAACAAGAUCCCCAGUUUCUAGCGGCAGCAUCUCCAAACCCCCCAGUUUCAAGGUGUUGAUUAAAAAAGAUUAUGUGGCUCGUGCAAUGUUUCUAUUUUGCAGUGAAUAAGGUUUAAAUUAGUUCACCCGUCGAUCAAUAAGAUGCAAGUAUGAUAGAUAUGUUAUUCGAAUGUGUUUCGAUAUGGUUGUAACCAAUUAAUAUAGCUCUUGUUUGUAACAAUGCUCUAUUAAGCUUCUAUCUAUAAAGUUAUUUCUCUAUUAAAAAAAAAACUAUGGAAGUGUUACCAAGCUUUGUUCUGUUUCAAAGGUAAGAUGCAUAUACUACCCGAAAAUAAUGUUCACCUAUCAUAAUUCUUCCACAUGAAAACCCGGUAAGAAUCACAUAAAAUAUUUCUAAUACUUUAGAAUCUAAUUUGGGUUUGUGACAACAUAAUUGAAGAGGUACAUAUUCUGAUACAUUCGUUAUUUAACGACAAGCAUGUACAUAAUACCUAACCUAGGAGGAGGGUGUACGUAGUGUUCUCUCUCCUUAAGAAGGCCUGCCUUUCGCGAAGGCCUCUUUCAAAGGACUGAUAUAAUAUAAUCUUCUUCUUUUUUUAAUCAAAAGAAACGAAAAUGGCUUCAUUGUUCAUAAUUUGGAAUAUAUGGUGGAUUGUACGGUGUUGUUUUGAGGGAGCUUCUCUCUCGGGUCAAGGGUUUCCAAUGGAUUUGUGCAAUGAGAUUUGAUUGGCAACAGUUAUUCGGGCAUCAACGCUCCAAUUUAGCACUCCUCAGUCCUCACUACCUCAUUGUUGUUGACGAUGGCGAUGACGACAUUAGCGAGCAUGGGUGAUGUGUGUGGCAUAUUUGUUUGUAUUGUUGCAUUAUUGCUUUCGGAUGUAAGGGCUUCGCCCUAUAGAUUAGCGAGCAAUUGGUCUCCUCUCAUUCUUUCUACCUUGAUCGAGUUGGAGAUCCAUGCACUUUAUUUGUAGUACUUUUUUUGGCCUCGCGUUUGCAAGCUUUGAAAUUCCCGUGAUUAAGGAAUUAUUCAUUUUUUACAAAAAAAAAGAAGAAGAUUUUUUCCUGAAAAAUAACACAACAACCAUCAUAAUUUCACUUUAUGUGGGAAAUUUAGCCAAAUCCGAAUCACAUCCACGUCGGCAACAGAGAGUGACUUGAAAGAAGUGCACCCAGAAAGCUAAAAAACCAUAAAAACUAGAAAACUUGAAUAAGGAAAAACUAAAGUAUGACAUUCCAAUCUAUUGUUUUAUGGUUUUUGAAGGAUUCAAAUUUGUCAACCACUUUUUACUUGACCACCUUAAUGACCACUAUCUAGAUUGGUGAUACGUGUCUUUUCAAAUUAUUUUACUUUAUUGUUUUAUUGUUGAUAAAAAAAAUAAACAUGUGUCACCAAUCUAAAUAGUGGUCAUUGAGAUGAUCAAGUAAAAGUGGUUGACAAAUUUGAAUCCAUUUCUUAUUGCGGUUUUGUUCUGCCAAAUCCAAAUCCCAUGACCCAAUCAUUUACACUCCCUCUCAAUCUCUGCAAAACUGACUGCUUCCCUUGAAAACGUGCGCAAUAAGGUACCUAGCUCUCUGCCCUUUUCCUUGUAAUGCAUUCAAGUCCCUGUAAAUUUUGUGGUUUUUGGUAAUGAUUUUAUGCUUGUGGAUCUCAAAUGGGUUUGGGUUUGUUUUGUUUUGGGAUUUUUAUAAAUGAAUGCAUUGGAAAUGUUAAAGCUUAUGCGUUUGUUCCAUGAUUCAGUGUUCUGCAAUUUGUGCCUUCUCUUCCGGAUCUGAUGUACGUGAUGUUCUAGCUAGUUGUCUUUUGGAUUGAAAAGAUAUUAUCUUUUGAUUGUUUUUGAUAGAACAUCAACAUCAAUCAUCAAUGAGAUGAAUCUGAAGUAGGUUAUUAGUUUGGAGAUAUGUUAAUGGUUAAUGAAUCAAGCUGAAGUUGUUCUGGUUAUUGGAGCAAUAGGUUCCAUACUGAAGCAUCUAAUUUUGAAUUUGCAAAGAGUGGUUGACGAGUUAUCCUUGGGAUUGGCGGGUGACAUUGAAAAAGUCUUGGUUUUGUGUAUAAGAGUUGAAAUGUGAUUUCUUUACUGUUACCAUGAUGUGGGUUCUACUAAAAGACUCGUUCUUGAAUCUGGGGUCAUGUCCUGUGAUGACUCAAUUCUUGCAAAACACAACUGAGAUGUGUCAAAAUGGGUUCGGGAGCGUCUUUAUAUAUCGAAGUAUCAUGAGUUUCGAUACUAAGUGAGGGUGCUGGAUAGAAUUGAGUUUGGAGGUUCAAUGCUUCAAAAACAAAGAAGCUAGAGGGAACGUAAUUCUUGAUGAUUCAAGACGGAUCAAUGACCUUGUAAUUAAGUUGCUUAUGUGCAAUUGUUGAGCUUAUGGUGUUUCCAGUUUGGAUACGGAUAGCUAUUUCUGUUUUCAGUAUAACCACCAUGUGUUGCAUCCUCUUACUCUUCAUCUUCAUUUACCUAUCUUUGAUCUGAUGUUCCAUUGGCAGAGCUCCCUUAUGCUAAACUGUAAAACCUGCAUUCCAGGUGGUCAUUCUGUUAGAACUUUGGAAGGUCUCGGAAAGGAAACACUCGUCGACAAAUUUUGGGAGCAGUUGCAUAAAAGGAAUGGUCUCCCAACUCGGAGAUAAUGGAGACGCGUACUGGAAAUUCCCGUCCCAAUAAAAAGCAAUCGUCGGAGAAGUCUAAAUCUGCCACUGAAGAGAAAAGGCCUGCAGAAAAGAAGCAAACACUUCUGUGUUUGUCAACUAUGGUAAGUUCAUUAGAUAGUAAGUACUGAGUUUUCUAACAUCGGUGUAACACCAUGCAACUAACUCAGUACUGUAGAAUAGACAUCUAUGUUAGUCUCUUUAGAUAAUAUGCACACUUUAACUUUUCAAAUGACGUCCUGCAUUAGUUAGUCAACUGUUCAAAAUCUCGUAGGUUACAAUUUUCCCAUCUCCAAAACCAAGUGUCCAUAAUCUUUUUCCCUCUUUGUUCACUAAACUAGUAAACUCCUCGUUUAGAUUAAUGUUCUAAAUCUUUUAGUUUUUGUUCCAUCUUGACAUAACUUGUGGCUCAUUACCUACGUUGCAUGGAAUCGGAAGCGGAAACGUGGAAGCGAAGCGUUUGGAAGCGCGGAAGCGAUUUUUUUGAAAAUAAUUUGGAAGCGAAAGCGUUUUAGAAAUGUGAGAAUCAAAAUAAUAUAUACAAAUAACAAAUAUAUAUCACCUAAUUUUAAUUUCAUUCAUUUAUUUUAAUCGUUAAUUUUAAUAAGUUGUACAAAUUAGUUUGAUUGUUUAGCAGAUAACAACUCAUUCUUAAAAAAAAAAGAUAUCACUAAACCUUAUAAAAAUAAACUUCUUCACUAAAAAAAAGUCCACCAUGAAAUAUUGAAAGCACACGUCUCUCUAAUCUCUACACCUUUUAAUCUUCUUUCUUCACCUCUCUAUGCUCUCUCACCCUCCAGGUUGCCGUCAUCUUCUUUAACUUCAUUCUCUCUCACUCCUCUCCCUCCCUCCAGUUUCAAAUCCUUUCUUAACAGGUCCUCAAGCAGAAGAUCUGAUUGAUUAUAGAUUUCGAAAGAGAUAGAGAGAAGAUUGAUGUGCCGCUGAAUCAGUUCUCGUGCAGUGGACCAUCGCGCUUCCAAAUCAAAAUCGUGAGCUUCCAUAUUGGAAGCAUGCGCUUCCGUCGUGCUUCCAAAACCCUCUUUUCCCGGAAUCACGAUUCCGGGCGCUUCCGAGCGCUUCCACGGCGUUUCCGCUUCGCUUCCGCUUCGGAAGCGGGCGAGUGGCCCGGCGCUUCCGUGCUUCCUAGCUCAUUACUGCCCUGUAAACCAACUACGGCCGAGUUGUACCAAAAGGAAAUUCGGCCUCUCAUCAAUGAGUAAAGGUUUUUUUUUUUUUUUUCUUCCUUUUGUGGGGGAAGAAGAAGUAUGCAAUAAUUUUGGAAGUAACAUAUCCCCUAUCACCAUUCCUUGCAACAAGCAAUUACUUCUGGCAUUUUGUGGUUGAUGUUGAUCAUUUUGUAACUUUUGUUCUUUCAUGAUAAUAAAGCUAAUUUCUCAUGUAGCUGCAAUUGCUUGGCAUGAGAGUAGAAGAAAGUGGAUAGGGGAUCAGCGGCUGCAAAGAAUGGCCAAGGAUCCAAUUAUAAGGUAUUUUUUCCUCACAAAGGUUCCUGGAUAGAAUGGGGUUAGCAAGUCAUGGUUAAAGAGUUGCACCUUAAAGUUUAAUAACAAAAGAAAAGUUGGAGAGCAUAACUGCCAUAACUUAUAUUCUUUGUAGGUACAAAUGAACUCAUUAACACUGGUGUGUCAGUUUUUAGGAAAUUACACUUAUAUUUGAGUAUCUGUCACUCUGUCCACUACUUGCACCCUGACUUGCUGAUCUGUAAAUCCUAGAUUUUUCAAAAUUGCUCCUUUAGUCCUUUUGUUUGGUGUGUGUCCAUAUUAGUAGCUUUGUCCAUUUAUGCUGUUAAAUUGUAGCUGCUAUAUGAAUGUCAGGAAGUUAAAUGUGAAAACUAUAUGCUGCAUAUUAUAGCACCAUUGUAAUGAUUGAUGAUAUUAGUGUCUUUGUCCAAUUAUUUUCUGUUCAAUUAUUGCUACUUCUUGAAGAUAAUGUGGAAAGUUUAUGUUUCAGCUGGUCAACAGCCUAUGAGGAUCUACUCUCAACCAAUGAGUGUUUUUCUGAGCCGAUCCCCUUAACUGUAAGUCGAUCAUAUAAUAGCACAUACCUGUCCAAUAAAUAUCUUCUGAUAAGUCAUAUAUCUCUAUUACUUGUGUUUAUUUGACAUUGGAAAUAUUUUCUAAAGUUUGAUGUUUUUAUAAAAUUGGUUUUAAGCAUGUUUUCAUACUGGAGCUCCACUUUAUGUUUUCAAAAGUCAUGGGUAGUUUUCUUGAGCAGCGAGGACGAAAACUCAUCCCUACAACAGUUUGUGGAUGCAUGUAUUGUGCACUGGGACAAGAUAAUGGCGAGGAGUUGGGUGUGCAUGUUUGUGAUCGGUAAUUUAUUUUCUAUGCUUACAUGUUUAUUUUUAGACUCAAGUUACAUGUUUAAAUUGUAUUCUGUUGGCCUUGUUAUAAUCUCAUCCGUGAUUCUAUUAAUGAAGCUUGUUAAUUACUGGCCAUUCCUUAUAUCAAGUUUUAUACGAACAUAAGAGUCUAAUCCUGAUAUGAUUUUGUCUUGUGAGACUCUCAUUGCAAUUUGUAUUCUUUUGAGUUCAUUAUUUCUUAACGUUUAUUGUGUUAGGUUUUAGACGAAUGACUUUACCUUAAGCAAAUUAAAUAUUUUUCUUUUACAUACACCUCAAAUAGUUUUACGCUUCCGUGGUGUUUGCUUAAAUGAUUUCUUAAAUAAACUGUCUUGCGUUUCUCUUGGUUUUUAUUUUAGAGACAUGCGGCACUGUGACGUGUCUAAACUAAGGAGGCGUAGUUUGGGGCGUUACAGAUUUAAUCUUUACACACUAUGAGAAUAUCAAAAUAUCACGAUAUUUGUGCAAAACUCACGAAAUCUUGUUAUUAAAUCAGCCGAAGUCAUCAUAUAUAGUCAUUAACUCGGGCCAAACUUAUAAAAUUAACACUAAAGUCUUGGCGCAGCUAACAUGAUUUGAACCCAGGUUGCCACAUGUUUGUAACAUCCUGAAAUUUCAAAUUUUUAUUUUUAAAAGGAAAGUUAUUUUUAUUUCGAUUUCUAUUAUUCUUUUAAAUUCUUUAUAGUUUUUGAAAAUUAUUCAAAUUUUGUUUUUGGAGCCCAUCGGAUUAAACUAGAGGCCGUGAUGAAUUUGUGGGAUUUUUCGGAACACCGUUUGGAUAUCGGAUAUAUUUUUAAUGAUUUUUAGAAGUUGGUAUUAUCUAAAAAUUUAAUUAAAAAUAGAAAAUCAAGGUCGGUCAAAUUUGGUCCGUCCAGAUUAUAUGGGUAUGGAUCAACUUGGACUUCAUUAUACCCAGUCCCAGACCGACUCCGUCUCCAGCCUCUAUCAGCGACGGAGACCUCCGGUCACUCCUCCGUUGUCCGGCCGUCUCCCGCCGCAAAACGACUGUCUACAGCUCUGUCUCGACGUCCCCGACCUCCCUGGGAUUCCAGCUUGAUGAGUGGAGCUCCGGAAAAGGAGGAGAGAAGGCGACUGUGUUUCCGAUCGGGUUUCCGAUUCCGGUGACGGCGGCGAGCGUGAAUGGUACUGGAAGCAUCCUCUCGUCCUCGUGGUCUUCCCUAUGUCCUCAGUUUCUUCAGAAGAGGUCGGGAGAGAGAGAUUCGAAGUGGAGAAGGAGAGGCUGGGUUCGCCGGCGAGUUUCCGAUUCCGGCCAAGUCGAGGUUUCUCACUGGUAUGAAUAGCUUCAUGUCGGUCUCGGGAACCUUUCCAUGUUGGUGGUUUUCGAAGAGAAGCUCGGAGGAGGGAGAAUCGAAGAGGAGAAGUUUCUGAAUUUUCCGGCGAGGGUUCGACGGAUUCCGGUGAAGCUUGAUGUCGACUCAGGUAUUAAAGUUGGUCUAUUCGAUGAGCUUUACAUGUUUCUAUAAUUGAAAUUGAGAUUGGUUGGGUGUUGGAGAAGUGGGAUUUUGGACAGGUUGUCGACCACCGUGUACGGCGGCGGCGGCGGUUGUUCUUGUAGUUUCUGGCUUUUGUUAAUACAUUGAUUGUGGAGGAGUGUUUUGAGAUGUAUUAGAAUUGCAGGAACAUGAGAAUUGUAUGAAGUUGGGUUUUGAGCAGUGUGGUGUGUGGCCACUGUUCACGGCGGCUAUGGUGGUGUUUUGAAAUCAGAAGACUUGUGUGAGGGAGAGGUUGAAGAUGUGUAUUAUGUUUGGUAUGAGUGUUCAUUCAAUUGGCUUUGGUAUUUGAGAGCAGGGUGCUACGAAUAUCUUGGUUUUGUGAUCAAAGUUGAAGUAAAGCAUAUAUGUUUGUAUGGUUGUGAGAUAUGGUGGUAACUGCAGCAAUGGAUAGUUGAUCAAGGUUCACAUGAUCUUGGAACAAAUGUCCAGUCGAUAACUUUAAGAUGUAAUUGGUAUUGCUAUGCUUGAACAAUUGUGUUUCGGUGGAUUGAAGAUUUGCCGGAAGGUGUGUAGUAAGAUGGGUGUCCAAAGUAAUUGAUGGAGACUGGUGUGUUCUCUUUUGAAUUAUUGUUAGAGAAAGAUGAUUAGAGGAGUUGGGUGUAAUGAACGUUAAGUUGGCUUUGCUGGGUUGUUGUGGAGUCUUAAGAGCAGUAUGGGUACGGGAACAGAAGAAUUGGAUUUUCAUUACUUUCAUAUGGAUUUGAUGUGUUGCUGGGGAGUAGGAAACAGUAAAGGAUUUAGGUUUGGUCAUGUCUGGGUUCGUUGAUAAGUUGUUAUGCCUACAAUUAAGACAUGAGAAGAUUGAUCAAGUUUGAGAUAGGCAAAUAUAAAGGAUUUAGUAGAAAAGAGGAAUUGGGUGUAGAGAGUAAAUUCGGUGCUUAGCUUGGUGCUUGGAGCAUGGUUGGGAUACGACUAAUUAUGGGUGGCGUGUGAUUUGGUAAUUGUCGGAAAAGGUGAGCGGAAUUGGAAAUAAAGAUUUUGAUCGUUUCUAAUUAAAGUGUUUGCCGACUUUAUUGGAACAAGGAUUUGAUGUGAGGGAGCAUGUUGCAAUCCGAGGAGCAGAAUGAUAAGGAUUUCAAAAUGCGUGCCGCGGUGUUAUUAAUUUUAGUAAGCGUCGGAGUCAAGGCUUGGAUUCCAGGUAGGGUCUCUCUCAGGGAACUUUUCUUUAAAUUGAUAAUUAGGUUAUUGUUGAAAUCGGUGCAUUGUGUGGCAUUGGUUGAUAUAACUCUUGGUUGUUAUCGAUUUUGUUAAAAGCAUGUGAUAUCGUUGAUUUAUAUGAAAUUAAUGUUAUUGCUUUCCGUAAAAGCAUGAGUUGAAUGUUAUGAUAUGAGUAUUGAUAUUCAAUUGACAUGCAUAAUGCAUUGUGAGGAAUUGUGAGAAGUGAGAUUGGUGAUUCUGGAGAUGAGAAAGAGAUUGAUAGAAUAGAUACAUUUUGUGUAGUUGAGUUUCCUCAUGGGUUGUCCAAGAUCCAGGGUAGUCCACACGUGCAUAAGUUCAGGGAAUGUAUGCCAUUUCGAUGGCGGACAUCGACAAAACAAUUUUAUCGGGUUUCGGGUUUGGAGACCAUGAGUAUAACAAGAUGAUUAACAAUAGAGGUACAAGCCAUAAGAUAUUACUGAUUAUUAGAUCAUAUAUUUGAGACAUUUGUGUCACCCCCGGUUGGUAAAAUACACGGUAUGGGACGUGUAGGCUCACAUAUCUUUGAUGUAUGGACUGAUAGCCAGUAAUUGAGGAAGACAUUCAUUAGCAUACAUGUAUCAAAUUGUCGUUAUUUAUUUAAAGUAUUAUUUGAUGUUUGAUAACUUGUUUGUGCGAUGUAGUUAAUUAUAACUUAAAAAGGUUUGGCUCUUUGGCCCUACUAAGCGUAAGCUCACCCCUAUAAACUUUUGUUCAGGUACGUUUGAGGACACGUUUUUCUAGAAGCGUAACUGUGAAGUUUAGCUGACGUGUACGAGAGUAGAAGAGUUACAGAAGAUUAGAAGUCAGAUAGAUCGUAAGGGCUUAUCUUUUUGUCUUUGUAAUUGUUUUUUGUUAUUGUAAACGUUUUAUUUUCUUUUAUUUCUGGAAAAGUAUUUGAAAUUGUUUUAUUUUCUUUUACUUUUCCCGCUCAUGUCUCGGGUACGGCGUCAGGUGCUUGGAAACCACCGACACCGGGUCCGGGGUUUGAUGUAUGGACUAGCCAGUAAUUGAGGAAGACAUUCAUUAGCAUACAUGUAUCAAAUUGUCGUUAUUUAUUUAAAGUAUUAUUUGAUGUUUGAUCACUUGUUUGUGCGAUGUAGUUAAGUAUAACCUAAAAAGGUUUGGCUCUACUGAGUGUAAGCUCAUCCCUAUAGAUUUUUGUUUAGGUACGUUUGAGGAUACGUAUUUCUAGAAGCGUAACUGUGAAGUUUAGCUGACGUGUACGAGAGUAAAAGAGUUACGGAAGAUUAGAAGUCAGAUAGAUUGUAAGGGCUCAUCUUUUUGUCUUUGUAAUUGUUUUUUGUUAUUGUAAACGUUUUAUUUUCUUUUAUUUCUGGAAAAGUAUUUGAAAUUGUUUUAUUUUCUUUUAUUUUUUCCGCUCACGUCUUGGGUACGGCAUCAGGUGCUUGGAAAUCACCGACACCGGAUCCGGGGUGUGACAAUGGUAUAUCUCACAUUCUCAACCAAUCCUCCUAAGGUGAUACUUGAUUACUACAUUGAACAUUUUAUUAUAAACUCUACAUAUAUUUUCAUACUUUUAAAAUUUCUUUUCGAAAUUUUAUUAAUAUUGAUAUUUUCUAAUAUUUUUAUCAAAAUAUCUAUUUUUCAGAUAGUCAAAAUUUUCUUGAAACGUGAUAUUUUUGUAAUAUAUCGAAAUUUCAAAUUUUUAUUUUUAAAAGAAAAAUUAUUUCCGAGCUAUUUUUAUUUCGAUUUCUAUUAUUUCUUUCAAUUCUUUGUAGCUUUCGAAAAUUAUUUCAAUUUUUAGUUUGUCAAAAUUUAUCUUUUGAGUCCAUAGGAUUAACGGAAGCGUUUUCGGACAUCGGAGCUAUUUUUAAUAAUUUUUAGAAGUUAAUAUCGUCUAAAAAAAAAAUAUUUUUAAACCCGCUUGAUCUGGACCGUUGGAUCAUUUAAACCGCAAGAUCUGGGCUGGGGGAGACUGGAUCAGAUCAGUUCAGACCCAGACUGGGUCAGCCUCGAUCCAAAUAGCAGCGACGGGUGACCGGACUGCCGCUUUGUCCUCCAGCGACGGCGUGGGGAAAUCAUGGCAGCUUCGGCUUCGUCUCGGUCGCCUGAUCCUAUCUGUGGUCUCGAUUUCGUCGAUGGAGCUUCGAUGAGAGAGAAUCGAAGAAGGGUAGCUUUUUCUGGGUUUGUCGACGAGUUUACUAUUUCAGCCACGGCGGCGAGCAUGAUCGGUCUUGGUAGCUUCACCUCGACCUGUUGAACAUUUCUUUGAAGAGAAGGUCGGAGGAGGGAGAAUCGAAGAGAAGAAGUUUUUAGGUUUUAGGCAGUGUUCUUGGUGUUUUCCGGCGACCUCGGACUUCAAUUCAGGUAUCAAAGUUGGUCGACUCGUCAAGCCCUACAUCUCUAUAUAAUUGGUUUUCAUUUUUGAUUAAGUUUUGAAGAAUCGAAGUUUUGGGGUUUUACUGUGCAAUUUGAGUUUUCCUGUUUGUGUGGUGAUUUUGGUUGCCUUGGGGCGUUCUUCGAUUGGAAUUGACUUUAUGAAGUUGAUUUGAUGAUCUUAAGCCCUUGAAUUACAUAAUUGGAAAAGUUGGGUUUUGGGGCAGUGUUGUUCGGCGAUGGAAGUGGUGGUUGAUGGUUCUGGGUUUGGUUUAUGUUUUAGAUGAAAUUACAAGAGCAUUAGAACUUAAUUAUGUUGUUGUGUCGCCUGGAUUCCAUAAACGGAGAAGUUGAGUGUAAGAAAAUUAGAGUUAUGCAAUUUGGAAUUGAGCUAAGAUUGGAGUAGAUGAUAGUAUCGGGUUUUCUGCUGAUUUUGGUUUAUUGUUUGUGGUGGUGACUGCAGUAUUCUUGUUCCAUUUCCAAUCAUAUGAAAGUGCAGGAACAUGAAUUUGGAUGCUUGAUUGGUAAAAGAUGAGUUUUGGGUGGUAGGAAAUGGAGCUGUGUUAUUGGAAUAGGGAGGGGAAGAUGGUUGUGUAUAGUACUAAUACUGAACUUGGCGGAGUUGAAGGAUGCAACUAAGAACUGUUGAUUUGCGAUAUGGAACUAGGAGCUUGAUUUCAAAUGGAGAAAGUGAGUAUUGGCAAGUGCAGGAGUAGGACAACUUGAGAAGUAUAAAUUGGCUAAAGAGCUUAUGGGUGUCCUUAUCAAUUUCAAAGACUGGAUUGCAUCGACUUGAAAUCAUCAGAGUGAAUAAAUGCGGAUUAAGGAACUCAUCUGGGUGUCUUAGUAGAUUUAUGAAUUCGGUCCGGUUGACUUAAAGUGACUUAAAUUUGGCUUAAAGUGAGUUUUGCGGAUUAAGGAUUCAGGGUGUCCUUAGUAAUUUUAAGAACAUGAUCAAUUUUGGAAAUUGAUUUAGUUUAUUUGAGGUUCGACGGCUUUCUCGGUAAGGAAUUGUGACGAGGAUCGAGUGACUAUCGACUUUUUCAGAAGCAGAAGGAUAAAGAUUUCAGAAUGCGUGUCGCUGAGUUAUUAGUUUUAAUUAGCGUCAGAACUAGCGCUCGGAUUUCAGGUAUGGUCUUUCUUGGGGAACCUUUUUUUAAAUUGAUAAUUAGAUUGUUAUUGAAAUUGGUGAAUUGUUUGUCAUUGAGUGAUUAACUCUUGGAUGUUACUGCUUUCUAUAAAAGCAUGUGUAAUCGUUGAGUUAUAUGAUUGUUAUUAUCGCUUUUCUUAAAAAGUAUGUGUUGGAUGAUAUAAUAUGAGUAUUGUUAUUCGUUGCAUACAUAAUGCAUUUUGAAGAAUUAUGAGAUUAGUGAGAUUGGUGAUUAUGGAGAGGUGAGAACGAGAUCAAAAUAUACAUUUUGUACAGUUGAGUUUCCUUAUGGGUUGUCCAUAAAUCUAUGUCAUCCCACUUGCGCAAAUGAGUGGGCAAAGUAUACUCCUUCGAUGGCGGACAUCAAUAAAACGAUCUUUCGGGUUUCGGUUUUGGAGAGUAUGAGUAUAACAAGAUGACUAACAAAAGAGGUACAGGUGAUGAGAUAUUACUGAUUGUUAGAUCAUAUAUUCGAGACAUCUGAGUCACCCAUGGUUGGUAAAAUACACUGUAUGAGACGUGUAACUGAGGAAGACAUUCAUUAGCAUAUAUGCAUCUAAUUAUCGUUAUAUAUUUAAAGUAUUGUUUGAUACUUGAUAACUUGAUUGUGUGACGACAUAGUUAAAUGUAACUAAAGAGGUUUGGCCCUACUAAGCGUGAGCUCAUCCCUAUAUACUCUUAUUCAGGUUCAUACAAGGACACAUAUUUGUAGAAGACUAACUGUGACGUUUAGUUGACGUGAACGAGAGUCGAGAAGGACUACCGAAGUUUCUAGUGAGCUAAACAACAAGACUAGUUUUACCUUUAUAGUGAGCUAGACUGCAAGACUUGUUUUGUCUUUAUAAUCGGUUUUGUUUUUUGUAAUCGUUUUAUUUUCGACUAUUUCGAGAAAAAUAUUUAAAAUUAUUUUAUUUUCUUUUAUUUUUCCCGCUCACGCCUCGGAUUCGGUGUUAAGUGUUUGGAAACCACCGACACCGGGUCAGGGGUGUGACAAUUUUAGUCCUUGGUUUGAUGCCUAAGCUACUUCGCUCCUCCAAACUGGGCCGGUGUUGGAUCAAACAAACAGAAACUUGAAAGAAGGAGUCCGAUACAAGUCAUACAACUACGUUGGUCGGAGCGGAUUUUACGCAUCAAGGUGCCCUUGCACCAUUAAUCUGUAAGUUUUUAAAUCUUCGUAUGCAAAGAUUUAAUGAAGACUAGAGACCUUAAAUUCUUUUCUUUCAUUUUUAUUUUUGACCUGAUCAAAUUAAACGCCAAUAAUUAGAGUACCUCUUAUUCAAUCUCAUGUCCUCAUCUCUUGUGUUGAAAACACUUUUGAUUAUUUUUUUGAGUUUUAAUUUUGUUAAUGGUAUUAAAAUACAUGCAUGAUAAUGCGACAUAGAUGAUCGGAUCAAAACAUUGCGUAUUAAUUGCUCGAUUCACUUGUAGAAGAAUUUUCGAGCUUCGGGCCAAUAUUCCAUUUUUCUUUUUAAUAAAAAAUUCUAGCAGCUAGACAGCUAGUUAACCAAUUGUGAAGCUACACAACUGGGACUUGCAGCGGAAAACAACUACCACGCGUUGCAUGGAGAGGUUAGGUCCUGCAUGCAACUCCGCCGCCCGUAAAUCUCCUACUGACAGCUCUACCCCUCGAUUUGCAGAUACUGAUGUAAAACCCGAGGACAAAACGGUAAUCGUUGAUACUCCGAGCCAGACAUAAAACUAUCCAAGAACAAAGAGGAGACACCACAGGAAAAAUGACCGGACCGCCUCUACCUCGACCCUUUCUAACGUGCUUGGUUGGUGUAGCAGUCUUAACCUGCGCACUAACCUUCUGUGUUGCCCUAGAUGUCACCCCCCAAGACCCAAUCAUCCACCAAGUCACAGACCAUGAUACUAACAAGCUCCUUGGAACCGAGAAAGAGUUCAAGAGUUUCAUGGAGAAGUAUGAGAAGAAGUACCCUACUAGGAAGGAGUACAUGCACCGGCUAGUUGUUUUUUCCAAGAACAUGAUCAGAUCCGCCGAGCACCAAGCUCUGGAUCCGACGGCGGUUCACGGCGUCACGCCGUUCUCGGAUCUGGAGGAGGAGGAGUUCGAGAGGAUGUACACCAUUCCUCGAAAAGUUAAAGUAAUCUUUUUUAGAAAUCGAAUGGAUUCGGUCUUAUACAUACGCAAGGAAGGUAAUAAAAAAAAAGAAAGAUGAGUUCUUUUAUCACUUAGGAGCUGUGCGAGAUAAAAGUCUCAUGCACGGUUUUGAAUGAGAGAAAGAAGUGAGGAAUCCUUUUUUCGACACUGACUCUCCCACUCCAGUUGUUGCUUUUUUUUUCUUUUUUUUCUGUUACUUCAAAAGUCGUUGCUUCAGUUUCAGCCACUCGAAUUUUCGAUGUUCUUUUUUAUUUCUCAUCAAACGAAUGGCAUUUUCUUCCUAUUACUCAAACAAGCAUGAAACGUAUGCUUGCGUAUUCGUCCAUAGGUCAAAUUGGAUAUGUAAUUAUUGGAAUAAUUGUUGGAGACUCAAAUGGUGGAUAUGUAAGCAUGAUAACUUAUAUGUUGUUCUAUAUCUCUAUGAAUCUAGGAACUUUUGUUUGCAUUAUAUCAUUUGGUUAGAGGUGCGCCCGGCUUAACCAACGGCGGAGGCGGUACGGGGAGCACGGUUGAGCUUCUGGAUGUUAGCGGGUUGCCUGAGAGUUUUGAUUGGAGAGAGAAAAAGGAGCUGUUACUGAGGUCAAGAUGCAGGUAGUUUCUAAUUUUCGUUUUAUUUCUGAUUUUUUAGGUUGGACACACAAUAUAUGUGAUUAACAGUUUCGGCCGUACUUAAAUCCUAGCUUUUUGCAAAUCAAGUUAUGGCACAUACGAUAUAGAAGUCUCGUAGCUGGUUGUAAAUUACUAAAUUGUGUAAUCUGAAGUCGAUCAGCUGAUCAGGUGCUGCUGGUUCUUUUGUUUAAUUGAUUGUAUAACUAGCUUGACUUUGAGAGUUUGAAGUUUUGUACAGAAAGAUUUGUCUAAUAGAGCUAGGGUGUUUGUGGAACAUGGAAUUAUUCUUCAGGCAAGGAGUUGUAUUGUGAUACUUAAAGCCUCUAAAUCUCUUGUUAUGGAUGCAGGGUGGCUGUGGGUCGUGCUGGACCUUUAGCACAACGGGAGCUAUUGAAGGAGCCAAUUUCAUUGCCACUGGGAAGCUUGUUAGUCUCAGUGAACAGCAGCUUGUUGACUGUGAUCACCAGGUAAUUAAGCCUAGCCUCUCUGGAAUAUAUUGAAGUACUCAUUUAACUUUAGGGCGAUAAAAAUUUAAUUGAUUGAGCAUAUAUAUAAUAUUUGGCAUGCCUACUUAAUUAGUUUCGUUUAAUGUUUGUGGCAACUAUAAUCAAGUGUGAUGCAAAAGAGAAAGAUGCAUGUGAUCGUGGUUGUGGUGGCGGACUUAUGACAAAUGCCUACAAGUAUCUAAUGGAAGCAGGAGGGUUGCAAGACGAGGUUUCAUACCCUUAUACGGGGAAAAAGGGCGAAUGCAAAUUUAAUCCUGAAAAAGUAGCCGUGAGAGUAACCAAUUUCACCACUAUUCCCCUUGAUGAGAAUCAGAUUGCAGCGAACUUGGUCCACAAUGGUCCUCUUGCCAGUGAGUACUAAACCUGAUAAUAUGCUUAAAAAUAGCUAGGCUUUUUAUGUAUCUAUGUGUGCGUACAUAGAACUGCCUUAAGUGUCUUAUUUUCUGAAUAUGAUGUGCACUGUUUAGCAUAUUUAGAUCUGAGUGUAGAUACACCCCACUGAUACAGAAUCUUAAUUGAUGUAUGUAUGCGCAGUUGGCUUGAAUGCUAUGUUCAUGCAAACCUACAUUGGCGGUGUGUCAUGCCCUCUUGUUUGUUUCAAGAAAUGGGUGAACCACGGUGGUUCACUUGUUGGAUAUGGUGAGAGUGGCUUCUCGAUUCUCAGGCUCAGCAACAAGCCGUAUUGGAUCAUCAAGAAUUCAUGGAGCGCAAAAUGGGGAGAACAUGGUUAUUACCGACUUUGCCGAGGCCAUGGCAUGUGUGGGAUGAAUACCAUGGUGUCUGCAGUUGUGACCAGUACGCGGGCAUCCUAGCUGCAUCUCCCGAGAUUAGCUAGUAUAUAAUUAUACACUAUAAUAUUAUAUGCACCUCUCCCUUGUUUUUUCUUAAUCCGAAUUUGAUGUUCCUAUAAUCAUAUUUCAACAAUAUUAUUGUUAAUAUGCCGAAGUGGAAAGUCUUGUUUACGUCAAAACCAAUUCGAACUAUAUUUUGUUAGCUUUAAAUGCUAGAUUGUCAGACUUCAAAUUUAAGUCGGAAAAAUUUUACAAUAUGUUAAUGCAUGUUAUGCAUCAAUUUUAUCCUAAAAUUGUAAAAUGAGUCUCUAAAGUAGUAAUAUUAGUCCUUGAAGUUGUAAUAUAUACGAGUAGUUGUAAAUUUUAAAGUUACAACAUUAGUUAUCAUGUGUCCUUAAAGUAAAUUUUACAGUUACAACAUUAGUCAUUGUGUCUUUAAAGUGAUAAAAUGCGUGCUUAAAGUGGUAAUUGAAUCCUCAAAGUGAUUGAAAAAGUUUUUAUAUCUUUGAGGAUUUGUAUUACAACUUUGAGGAUUUGUAUUACAACUUUGAGGACUCAGUUACCUCUUUAAGGACACAUAAGGAUUAAUAUUGUAACUAAUUUUUUUACAACUUUAAAGACUUAUAUUACAACUUUAAGGACUAGCUAAUAUUACUACCGUAAGACUCGAUCAUUUUAUAACUUAAGAGCAAAGUUGAUACAUCACAUGCAUUUUUUUUUUAUUGGUUAAUGAUCGAGGAUAGGCGAAUAAUCACCUAUCACUCUAUGUUAUUAAUAAAAGAAAAAAGAAACAAAGGAGGGGGAUCAAAACCAAAACAUCCUAAAACAAAUGACAGACUAGCUGAAACGAAAUUGAGGCAUACCUCUAACAUCGUUAUUAUAAGACAAUAAUAUGAAAGGUGGAGGCUCAUCCCACCAUAUCAAUUCAGAGCAUGACGUACCUUGAUUUGCCAGAGCAUCAGCUAUCUUAUUCCCUUCACGAAAAAUAUGAGUAGCCUUGAAAUUCAUUUUAGAGAUUCGGUAUAAGCAAUUCAACCAACGAACUCGAAGAGGCCAAGGAACAAGAGAAGGUCUGCGAAUAUAAUCAAGUACCAAAGAUGAGUCAACUUCCAACCAAAUAUGCUUCCAAUCACGAACCCAAGCAAGCUCAAUAGCUUUAAUAACAGCCAUUAUCUCCGUUGAAAUUGAACUAGGAAUUUCAAGAUUAGAGGCAAAAAGCACCUAGAAAGUGGCCCUUGUAAUCUCUAAAAAUAGCACCAUAACCACCCACUCCCUCUUCAUGCUUCCAAGAGCCAUCAGAAUUUAUCUUCACCCACCCAAGAGAAGGAGGAAUCCAAUUAACUUCAACCACUCUAGGAGUGGCACGAGGUCGACAUGGGGCUCCAAAACAUUUCAAAAUUCGUAGCUCCUGGACACUGUUAUGCAUAUGACCCGUUGUAAGAUGACUAGUGGCUCUUAUAUGACUUGAUAUUAGCUUGCAAACAACUUCAACUGAAAAGCGACAACCAUCAAAUCUGGUUUUAUUUCUCACAUGCCAAACAAACCACAAAAUGGAGGUAAAGCAAAUAAGCCAUAAUUCCAUUAAUUGAGGACUUCUUCCAUUCUGCAAACCCAACCCAUAAAGCUCCAAAAUAGAAGAAGGAAUCAUACCUAACUCAAAAAUAGAGCCAAAGUGACAGAAGAGACGCCAACGGCACCAACACCCAAAGCCAAAGGUAAAGUGUUCGUCAAAGGACUCCACAAUUCCAAGAAUGCUUUCCAUGUGCUCGUGCAAUAAUGGUAAGGAUAUCGAGAGACGCCAACGGCACCAAAUAUUCCAGCUUGAUUCAAUACGCCUUCAAAAUUGGCUAAUAUGAAUUCUGUCCACUCCAUUACGCCUAUCUCAAGUGUAGCACAACCCCGGAAACAAAGGCUCGAAGACCAAUCUUGUUUGGUGUUUAGCAUCCUGUGAAGUAUCGGGUAAAAAUUCUCUUCGAAAGUGAAAAGACCUCCAUCAUGUCUGUUAUCAACCUUCUCCAAAGUAUGCCCCUUAAAUACAUGGGAAAAGUUGUGGGUUGUUCUUAUCACUUGAUCCUCCAAAUCUUGGCGAAAUGUAAGAAAGCCUGAGUUCAUUUCAACUUCUGUCACCAAGGUAAUGAUGUCUUUAGGAGGGACAUCAACAUGAAUGGAGCUUAAAGGCUGUGAUCUCACGUACUCUAUGCCCUUUCCAACAACCUGCCUGUGUUUGUCCAAAGCUGCCUCGCGGGAAAUUCGACCAUAUGCAUCCAUUACCUGAGAUUAUAGCACGCAGAGAUGUUAAAAGCAAGCAAUAGCAAGUCAAGCUUUGCGCGAGAAAAGCAAGUUCCACGUACAAAGCUUGAGGGGGCACUGUUGAUACCAAAAAAAAAGGAUUACAGAAAAGGAAAAAAAUAAAUAAAAUAAAUAAAUGGAAGAGUAUUUAUUCAUGUCAUACUCUUCCGUUGGUUUUGAUUACACGCACAAAGCUUUUGAGUUCAAUUACAACUCUUGCAAGCAGGUGCUUGGAUAAGAACAAAUCAGUACGAGCACCAGAGUUUGAUUGUAACUCAAUUAUCCUAACCAAGCACUCUAUAUAAAGAGGCCAAUACCUUCAAAAAAAAAAAAAAAANAANNNNNNNNNNNNNNNNNNNNAACACCAACGGGAGGAGGCAGGCGGGCAACAAGGAGGAUCACAAAGGAGCGGUUCAUUCUUUACAAGGUUCGGAUGGAGAGUUCUCUUUCUCUUUGCGCAGCUCUCUUUAUGUUCUGUUGAUGGAGGCAUCACUGCCUUCAUAUUCCUCGCAGAUGGCCUCUGGUGUUCUUGGUUACUAUUGUUCCUGGUCACCCAAAUCCCUUGCGGAUCGAUCUGGUUAUUAUAGUUACUGUGUUCUGUUGGUUACUUGGUUACUACUGUGUUCUCUUGGUUACUUGGUUACUCAAAUCCCUUGUGGAUCGUUCCUGGUUACUCGUUACUUGGUUACACAAAUCCCUUGCGGAUCGUUCCUGGUUACUUGUUACCCUAAACAUUGGUUACUGGAUACUAUGGUUACUGGAGACUAAUGGCUACUAUGGCAAUGGUUCUAUGUUACAAUGGUUAUAUGACACUAUGGUUACUAUGAUUCUGGUUCUAUGGCUACUGUAGCACUAUGGUUACAAUAUGGUUCUGGUUCUUUGGGUACUUUGACACUGGUUACUAUAACAGAUCGGUUGCCCUUUGAUCCUACAAAACCAAACACAAAACCAAUACUCAAAAUUCCACCACAAAAGGCCAUUGUUGUCCCUGUUCCCUGUUAACCACCACAGCCAAAUACCUUUCCAAAUUCCAUGUUUCAAGCACCAACUCAAAUACUGUGCAAUGAAACUAAAAGAGACAAUAACAGAGGCUUACCCUCAAACUAUGACAAUCGAUCUAUUCCGAUACUACAACUACUACCUGUGUUUCAUACCUUCAUGCUGUAGCAGGAAUGGUGAUGAUAUUGCAAAAAGAGAACAGCAAGUUCCUGUCAAGUUAACCUCACAAAAACAUCCGAGCAAAGAGAGUCAUUGAUUCUUUGGCUCUGUCCCUUUAAAAAAAACAAAGGGGGCUCGGUGAGUUUUCUCAUGAUUCUUCUCCAAUAUCACAAGAUGACAAGAAUCAAGCUUGGCGGUGACCCUCCCAAACAGAGAAGGCUUACUCAAACAUAAAUAUGCAUUCACCACCAUGGAGUAAAACAAAAGAAGCAAACUUAAUUAAACAAGUUUUGUUUCUGGAAGUUCCAAGGCAGCGAGCCGAAUACACCCACAGUCAAAUAAAUUGGAGCUAAGAAGUUUAGAGUCUCAAAGCAAAAGACGUGUUCUUCCUCAAAUUAAAGCCUGCAAAUUGAAGCCUGCAGCAAAAUUAACCUACUCGAAGCUAAGCUCAUCCAUUCGACGCUAAGCUAAUCUACUCGAAGUUAAGGAAGCGAAGGAUAAUUAAUUUUGCCAUUGAAGAAUUGUAACAAAGCACCUAUCCAACACAAGGCAGUAACCAAAUUGAACGCUACCUGUGAAGAAACAAGCUUUUGACCAGUGGGAAAUCCUUCGAAAUUACUCUGAAGCAUAAUGGAGAUACUUUCGUCAUGAGGGUAUUUGAAUUGUAGGGAUGAAAGCAGGAACACAAUAGGGGUUAUCCUUACCCAAUUUCGCACAGUGAGAAAGAGCACAGCAAAUCUCAAGCCUCCCAGUGUUGAUAAAUUUCUUCUCGGCGACUUAGGAGCACUGCCAUCACCAAGUCGGUUGCUGCGCCAACCCCUCUCCAUUUGAUCAGUUUCGGCCUUCAAGUUCUUCUGGGUUACAAUAAACAAGGCAGCAGAAGAUCAAAAGAAAGAAAAGAAAUGAAGAAUGGGGAGAGGGAAAGCUAACGGGCCUCCACAUUGACGGAUGCUACUCACAAGCAAGGCCCAUGUCAAAUUUGGGCCCAUCUGAAAAGUUCAACGAGGCUCAAUAUAUGGGUGUUCAAAUCAAAAUACCCAAACUUCGGUUUCGUUUAAAAAUUCUUCGGAACCCGAAUGAAGUUGCGUUUGGUACAAAACCAAGAAAUACUCAAAUACCCAAAUUUUUGAACUACAAUGGUUUGAUCCCUUCACAGGGUAUGUAGGCAGUCCAGAUUUAAAUCUGGAUAUAACCACAUUUAAAGCCAAAUCGUUGGUUCUUUCCAAGCCAAAUUCUAAAACACAUAACCAAACCUUUCGACAAGUCAUCUACUUCGUCGAAACCCCAAAAGCCAUAAAACUUGAACUACGAGUGACUUGAUCCCUUAUGGGGUACGUAGGCAGCCUGUAAAACAAAUCGGGUGCAGUCGCAAUUCCCCUCGAACACACAUUCCCCAUUUGUUACUUUGUAAUUAGAAUCAAAGGGUCUUCCCCCGAAAGCAAGGGUUGUAAUUAAGAAAUUUAUUUUAUUUCGAAUGGGUCGAACCAGACAUAAUUAAAACUCUAUUUUAAUCAAUGAGAUAGAGUGAAAUUGUGUUGGGUAUAUUUAUUUACAAUUUUUGCUCAACAUAGUUUUUGGCGACUUCACUGGGGACUCUCAACUGGUCAUCAGACAAAUAAAUGACGAGUAUGCAGUCAAAAAUGAGAACCUUAUAUCAUACUACCAAAGAGUUAAAUAUCUCCUGGGACAAUUUCGAGAGAUAUAUGUUGGCCACAUUCCAAGAUCAGAGAAUGAUAAAGCAGACGCAUUGGCUAACUUGGCAGCUUCUUUAGUACUUCCUGAAGAGAAAGACAUCCAAAUAACAGUUGGAGAACGUCGAUUGCAGUCCUACGUCACUUGAACGAAUGGAAGCUACCAAUGAAACAAAUGUAGUUUCUGUGUUCGAAACUGAGGAAGAAUCUGAUUGGCUCAAAUUGAUGCAGUGAACGAGCAAGAGAGGAAAGUAUGAUUCAAAGUCUCCGAGCAAACACCACAAAGCUCACAUCUAGAAACCCAAGGAAUACCUCGACGCUGAAGUAAAACAUCAGAAAUAACUCUACCUCUUAACACCUUCCAUGCUAGGAAAGACAUUCUUGGCAGAAUAUAUUUAGCCCAUAAUCUCUUACCCCAAAUUACUGGAUUAGAAGAAUGCCGCAUAAAAGUAUAGGCUUGUUUUGCGGUUAACUCAUCGGAGGCUGAAGAGGUCCAUAUAAGUUUGUCAUUAACUGAAGGAUCUUCUGACACAGGGACUUGAUUGAUCAUACCACAUAAGGCUGGGUAGUGCAACUGUAGUAAUGGAGGAAGAUUCCAUGAACCAUUGUCUAUAUAUUUUGACACCAAAUCCGAGUUAUCCUGCAUCAACACAUUAGAACCAAAGAACUCAUUUAUUGGCCUACCCAUAAACUUGUCGCGCCAAAAGUAAAUUCCAUUCCCAGAACCAAUGAACCAUUGAGAAUUAUCUUGAACAGUCUUCCAGAAUUGACGAACACCAGGCCAUAUAGAAGAAGGAGCAUAAGAUUUCCGUCUAGAGAAACGAUUGCGAAUAAAAGCACAACCCUCAGAUUGAGCUGUAUAGAUUUCCCAGCAACGUUUCAAUAAGAGAGAUCGAUUAAGCAGAACUAGUUGUUUGAGCCCCAAGCCACCUUCUGCAAUUGGGGAACAACAAGACUUCCAAGCCACAAGAGGGAUCCCUCUUUUAUCAAUUGAGCCAGACCACAGAAAGUUUCGGCACCAUACCUCAAUUUUUCGCACCACAGACACAGGCCAUUCAUAUACUUGAAAAAUGUAUACCAACAUGCUAAAAAUAACAGACUUGAUAAGCUGCAAACGUCCUGCCAUUGACAAAAAAGAACUCACCCAACUCGAUAACUUUAUCCUUAUUUUGUCAACAAUCUGAUGGAAAUAAGAAGCACGAGGUUUGCCAUGAAAAAUAAGGGCACCCAGAUACAUGAAUGGAGCAGACCCCAAGGGAAUACCCAAGAAGUUCGAAAUAGAAUGCCGCCUUGAAUGUAUACUAUUUCCAAUAAAAACCUGAGACUUCCCUUUGUUGAUAACUUGACCUGAAACUCUACCAUACUCAUCGAAGAACCGCAUAAUCCGCGAUAAAUUCCGCCUAUUGCCCCGAAAAAAAACAAUAACAUCAUCUGCAAAUAGGACAUGAGAUGGAGCAAGAGUAUUUCGUGGAGAAGAGAUACGCUGCAGUUGUCCCGAUGAAACAAGUAAAGAGAUCCCACGACUAAGGACUUCUUCUGCUAAGCAAAAGAGCAAGGGAGAAAGAGGGUCACCUUGACGCACACCCCUUUCACAAGAAAAAUACCCCACAGUCCUCCCAUUAAUCAACAGAGAAAGCUUGGCUGACAGAAGCAAGGCACGCACCCAUUGUACAAAGAUCGGAUCAAACCCAAAAGCCUGAAGAACAUGAAGAAGAAAAUCCCAUGACAGAGUAUCAAACGCCUUUGUAAUAUCAACCUUAAUUGCAAGGUUACCCCCCAUGACAUUUUGAGUUCAACAAAUUAAAGCACUCUGAAGUAGUUAAUAUACAGUCUGAUAUGUUCCUCCCUGCAACAAAAGCAUGCUGUUGAGGAGAAAUAAUACGAGAUGCCACUGAUGCCAACCGGAUAGCUAUGAUCUUUGGGAUAAUUUUAAACACAAAGUUGGUGAGGGCAAUAGGCGAAACUGCUUUAUGGAGUCGGCAUGAUCAACUUUGGGGAUUAAGAUGAUAAUACCUGAGUUAAAGGAAGGAGCCAAAUAACCAUGUUGAAAAAAUACUGAACAGCCUUAACAACAUCAGCACCAACAACAUCCCAGCAAGAGACGAAAAAAUGGCCAUUAAAUCCAUCUGGCCCCGGGGCACUAUCAGGAUCCAUUGAUUUGACAGCUGCCCAAAUUUCCUCUGAUAAUGGAACACUAGUAAGCAUCGUAUUUUCCUCAGGAGUUACCAUAGAGUGAAUCACUUUGGACACCAAGCCACUAUCUUCAUACUCUGCAUGUUUAGUAAAAAGAUUUUUGUAAUAAUCAACUAUAUGAUUUUGGAUAUAAUGAGGAUCCUGAAGCACCUGAUCUCCAUCACGAAGCAGAGUAAUAGAAGAACGAUUUCGGCGCACUUUACACAAAGCAUGAAAAUAAGAAGAAUUACGAUCACCUUCUGAUAACCAUCGCAACCUUGACUUCUCACGCCAAAGAAUUUCCUGAUGCAGAAUAGACUCAUUCAAAAUGGCCUGCAAUUCAGUCUCUUUUUCAAACUCUUCAUCUGAUCCCCCAGAAGCUGCAAUUUUAUUUUGAAUAUCAGCAAGGGCUGCAAGGUCAAACUCAACCCGACGGUGAACAUCCCCAAAGACCUCCCAGUUCCAAGUACGGAGAGAUUUCCUUAAGGUACGCAGCUUAUAUUGCAGGACAGAAUAAGGACAACCAAACGAAGUAGUAGAGGACCAACAUCCUUUGACAAAACUCAUAAAAUCCUUAUGCUCCAACCACAUUUUUCUAAACCGAAAGAGACUAAAACGAGACCCUGUAAACUUAGAAAAGGACAUUAGUAGUGGAUUAUGAUCAGAGCAAGUUCUGGGUAAGGUGCAACAGUCAAACUGAUCCCAUUCCUCCAUCCAAUUCAAAUUAGCAAGACUUCUAUCUAAUCUUAGCUCCACAUUACCACGAAAACCACGCCGUCUCACCCAUGUAAACUCUGCCUCUUUAGUAUCUACAUGAAUAAGUUCACAAACAUCUGACAUUGUCUGAAAUUCCUCACAUGAUCGCCGACAUAGAGGAGCACCUCCUUUCUUUUCAUGAGCACCAAGAACUGCGUUAAAAUCUCCAAAAACCAACCAUGGUCCUGUAACAAAACGACCUUUGAAAUCAGUAAUAUCUUCCCAUAACUUCCGGUGGCCAGAGAUUGUGGUACGAGCGUAGACAGCUGUAAGAAAACAGUUUACCGAAUCAAACAUAACUUGUAAAGAAACCUGCUGAUCCGAGGUAGACAACACCCGAAUCCAUGGAGCCAGAGAAGUCUUACAAAAAACCCAUAGAUUAGGUAAUGCAGAACCCCGGUCAUUUGCACCAACAAAUCGCAUGCCUAACGAACGCCAAAAGAAUAGAGGAAUUGAAGUCAAGGCAACGAAAGGCUCAGCUAUACAUAAAACUUCCAGGUUGUGAACCCGUACAAACUGUUUCAAAGCAUCUUGAGUGGGGACAUUAGCAAUGCCCCGUAUGUUCCAAUAAAGAACCCUCAUUUAGGAGUGUCUUUGGAGCGACGGAGAUAGGCUUCCCUAUUCUCCUUCGAAGCAGCCUUCCUCUUUUGAGACCUGGACAUAACAACAGUAAAACCAUCAUCAAUGUCAACUCGUUCUGUCUCCUCAUACCAGCUAUCAAUUCGAGUUACUGAAUUUGCAGCAACAGCAACCCCAAUGUCAGAAGACUGCUCAUGCAUACUACCACCGGCAGAGUCAUCUUCACUAUUCUGCUCGUUCUGAUCAAUUGCAUACCUAGUAUCAUCUUCUUGCUCAACCACAUUACCAUGGAUAGCUACUGGUACCAAAACCACAUUCACCCCCGGCUCAACCACUUCUUGGACAGGUGCCACCACUUCCACUAGCGGUUCCGGCACAACACUAGAUAUCACUAGUUGGCCGACCGGUGCUGGAGACUUCUGCACAAAGGAAGGACCCUCACCAAAAUCUUCCCUGGGGUUUGGAGUUGAAUCAAUAAUCAUGCUCUUACCUCGAUCUGCUGGAUUAGAUGGGUUUUUAGGCACAUACACUUUGGAGACUCGUUGCUGAUCACGGUUCCUGCGAGAUCGUCUACUACGCUUGCGCGAUCGACCUCUGCCUUUCUCAGUCUCAUUAUCCAUUGGAACCGGGUCAGAAGAUCUAUGCACAUACUUGCAAGCUGUGACAAGGUGCCCAACGUUGCCACAAUGAGCACAAAUAUGUGGAAGCUUCUCAUAAUCCACAGUCUGAACAAAAGACGAACCGCACUUACGCUUGACAACCAAUUCAUGCGGUGGAUCAACAGAGAGAUCAAUAUCAACCAAUAUUCUAGCAAAUAGGGUUCUAGGUUCCCAAAACUCAAGCCCUAGAUCCUAAAACCUCACCCACACCUGAGCAUUAGUAUUACGUUGAUUCGCUGGGGAGAAAUUUGGAACCCAUCGCAUGAAACGCAAGAAGCCAGGCUUGAGAGCAAUUGCACCCUUUACCCAGACUGUAGAGAGAUCCUCAUCCGUAGAGAAGCUAAACGUGAAAUAACCUUUUCCCAUGGGAAUAAUCUUCCAAGCCCCUAGACUUCCCCAAAGAAGAGAAAGCUUAUGAGACAGAUCUGAUGCAGAGUAGGGUUUAUCCCUCAAACCCAAUUGCACCCUUCCGAUUAACAUAUGUUUACAAUUAUCCAAACCCGAUUGAUAGCCCUCUUCUGAAAUAGUAACAGUUGUCUUGCCAUCUAAAAUCUCAGGAAUAGGUAGAUCAUCAAUUGGGAUGAAAGCUUGCGCCGCCGCCGCCGCAUAAGAUUUCGUCGGCUUCGCAGCCCCCUCGUCGAGAAAAGACCACGGGCAGAAGGGACGAUGCUGAACAGCCAUGACGUCGUGAAGCAAACGGAACUCGAAUUCAAGGAUUUACUGCAGGGAGGCUCCAGCACGGGGAAACCCUAGCAGAGCCAUCACCAACAUAAUGUAACUCGAUGCAUCACAUCCAUUAACACACUAUAGUCUUACCUUUUAAGUUGAGUCAAUGCAAGAGUUGCACUAUUUAGACCAUUUGGUUCUUCCGAAAAUAUGUAUUAUAUUUUUGAGAAUUUCAACGUCUGUAGUAGAGUCGACGAGGAUUUUAGAUUUGAUUUCGUCGAUGGCGUUGUCGAGCUAUUGCGUCAAUAGGAUGAUGAAGAGCAACCGGAAUCACCUCUCUUCUGACGCAAUUUGUUUUUCAAAGAUCUGGUCCGUUGCACUGGCCGGUCGAAGCCUUUUCAGUUCUCAAAACAGUUCAGAAACUACAGGUCUGAUAAUGAAAUGCAUAAAACAUUUAUAACUAUUGGUAAUUUAUAUCCUAGAGUUGUUCGAGUGUACUAACCACAGGAAAUAACGAUCUAGCUAGACUACCUUAUUUUCGUUAGGGCUGCUCUAAUUAGUCAACAUAUGCAGCUAGGUGAUGAUAAACUUACCCAAUUCGUUGUGAAAAUAAUUGAACCAUCAGUAGCCGUGAUAGUCCUUACGUACCUGCCCUUUCAUGAGCCUUAAUAUUUGGUGGCUUAUUAGCUACGCACUAAUGGUAGUUAAUUGUGCUUAUUUUGUGCAUGUGUGUUCUAAUACAAUUACCUACCUAGUUCUAAUUGUUCUAAUUCGUCGUGGAAUGUUUUCAGAGGAGAAAACUGAAUGGGGUAGCAUAGAGCCCUAUUACAAAAUAAUGUAUCUAUAACCUUCUCUAAUUUACAUAGUAAUUGACGCAAUUUGGCCGAACUGUUUCUGAACACACUGCUUCAGUUCUUUAUAAACCACGUACCAUAUGUAUGUAUUCAAGUGUCAGAUAUACUGAACCUACAUCGCCAAAAUGGAGAGAAUUCAGGUCAGUAUAAUUUCCAAACACACCGUCAAACCAUCAGCUUCCUCUUCACUACUUCGGGAUUGUCUAUGGUACAGCGCUGUAUGCCAUACAUCCUCUAACAGGACUUGUGUGCACGUGCCUUGCAGUGGGGGUGGGUGUUUUGUUUUGAAAUUUUUAGCCUUGAAAGCAGGCUGCAUAUCAUGCAGGGCUGCAGAUAGAAUUUUCCCUGAAUAUCACGCAUAUCAGCGCUGCAUGAUAUGUAUGAUUGUCUAUGGUACAACGCUGCAUAUCAUGCAGCGCUGCAUUAAAGCAGACUGCAUAUCAUGCAACGCUGCAGGAUAUGCAGCCUGCUUUCAAGGCUAAAAAUUUCAAAAUAAAACACCCCCACCUGCAAGGCACGUGCGACACAAGUCCUGUUAGAGGAUGUAUGGCAUACAACGCUGUACCAUAGACAAUCCCACUACCCUACUUCAGCCUUACAAGCUUACCCUGCUCGACCAGCUCACUCCUCCAUCGUAUGUCCCCAUGGUAUUCUUCUACCCCAUUACUGGCCCUGCAGUCUUCAAUCUUCAAACCCUAGCUGACUUAAGACAUGCCCUUUCCGAGACUCUCACUUUGUACUAUCCACUCUCUGGAAGGGUCAAAAACAACCUAUACAUCGAUGAUUUUGAAGCCGGUAUCCCAUACCUUGAGGCCCGAGUGAAAUGUGACAUGACUCAUUUUCUAAGGCUUCCAAAAAUCGAGUGCCUAAAUGAGUUUGUUCCAAUAAAACCAUAUAGUAUGGAAGCAAUAUCUGAUGAGCUUUACCCCUUGCUUGGAGUUCAAGUCAACAUUUUCGAUUCUGGGAUAGCAAUAGGUGUCUCCGUCUGUCACAAGCUCAUCGAUGGCCGAACGUCAUACUGUUUUCUCAAGUCCUGGGGUGCUGUUUUUCGUGGGUGUCGUGAUGAAAUCAUACAUCCUAAUCUCUCUCAAGCAGCAUUGCUUUUCCCACCGAGAGAUGACCUGCCUGAAAAGUAUAUAGCUUUGAUGGAAGGGUGGUCGAUUGCCGUAAAGAAAGUUGCUACAAGGAGAUUUGUAUUUGGUGCGAAAGCCAUAUCUGCAAUUCAAGAUGAAGCGAAGAGCGAGUCCGUGCCCAAGCCAUCACGAGUUCAGGCCGUCUCUGGUUUUCUCUUGAAACAUCUUCUCUCUGCUUCUCGGGCAUCAUCAUCAGGUAAAUCAGUUUAUGUGUCUUCUUAAAAGUGCACCACAUGCAAUUGCGUGAUUGGCAAAGGAGGGCUAGGCGUGAUUAAUUAAGCUAGAGAAGACAAGGUUUUUCCAUUAAUUGUUAGUGAGGCUUGCUCAAAUGCGAGCGUACAAGAGUUUUCAGUAGCUUUAUUUCUGCUGCUUAGGUUAUACCGGAUUUGUUUUGUAAGUUAGAAAAAUACAACUUAUUGGAUAUUGUUAUAAGCAUCUAAUUAAUGAUAUGAAUGAAAAAGAAAAAAGAUCGUACACUUAACAUUUUUCUGCUAUUAUUUCAUACUUAUUUUAUAUUUUUGUAUUACAUAUACUGUACAUAGCUUAAAAAUGAGAAAAUAUAUGAACUUUUGCAGGUACUACUUCAACAAAACUUUCUAUAGCAGCUCAGGUAGUGAACUUAAGAUCACAGAUGAACAUGGAGACAACGUUGGGUAAUGCCAUUGGAAACCUGAUGUGGUGGGCUCCGGCCAUACUAGAGUUAAAUCAUAAAGCACGAGAGAGCAGCGAUCCUAAGCUGUGUGACUUGGUUAUCUUGCUCAAUGAAUCUGUCAAACAAUCUAACAGUGAUUACUUCGACACUUUCAAGGGUAAAGAGGGAUAUGGAAGAAUGUGUGAGCAUCUAGAUAUGGAGGGGACUGUAAGUUCUGUAGAACCAGCACCAGAGAUAUAUUCAUUCUCGAGCUGGACUAGAUUUUUCGACCAAAUUGAUUUUGGAUGCAUGGGGGAGGUCAUCUUGGAUUGGAGUUACCGGAAAACAAUCUGCAUAUUGGAAUUCCACAGUUUUAGUACCAACACAAUGUGAUACUGGAAUUGAAGCGUGGGUGAAUCUAGAUGAAGAGAAAAUGGCUAUGCUAGAACAAGAUCCCCAGUUUCUAGCAUUAGCAUCUCCAAAGACCCUAAUUUCAAGGUAUUGAUUAUGAAAGAUUAUGUGGCUCGUGCAAUGUUUCCAUUUGCAGUGAAUAAGGAUUAAAUUAGUUCCCCGGCCAAUUAAUAAGAAGCAAGGUAUGAUAGACUAUGGCUACGUAUGUUAGUAUGUUAUCCGAAUGUGCUUCGUUAUGCUUUUAACCAAUAUAGCUCUGUUUUGUAACAAUGCUCUAUUGAGCUUCUAACUAUAGAGUUAUUUUUCUUGAUUAGAAAAAGAAACUAUGCAAGUUUUGUUUUGUUAAGCUAUUCUGUUUCUAAAAGAAAGGCUAUUCUGUUUCUAAAACGGGAUGCAUGUAUUACCUAAAAAGAUGAUUCACCUAUAAUUAUUUUUCAAGUAAAUGAUUAUUUGAUAGCAAUCACGCCGUGUAUUUCUAUAGCUAAAAUUGUAAUUUAGAUCAGUGACAACAUGAUUAAAAGUUACAUAUUCUGAUACAUUUGUUAUUUAACGACAAGUGUGGCCAUAAUGCCUCACCUAGUCACCUAAUGCGAAGACCUCUACGAGAGACUAAUGUCGUCUGAUCUUCUUUUCUUAAUCAAAAGAAACGAAAAUGGCCACAAUGCCUCACUAUUCAUAGAACCAUACAAUAAUUUGGAACAUAUGCAUGGAUGCAAAGAAAAAUAACACAAGAACCAUCAUAAUUUCACAUUAUAUGAGAAACUUAGCCAAAUCCGAAUCACAUCCAUGUUGGCCAAGAGUGACUAAAGAAGACCACCCAGAAAGCUAGAAAACCAUAAAAUCCAGAAAACUUGAAUAAGCUAGGGAAAAAACAAAAAUGUGACAUUCCAUUUCUUCUUGCGGUUUUGUUAGGCCAAAUCAAAAUCUCAAUGACCCUGCAAUCAUUUACACACACUCUUUCUCAAUCUCUGCAAAACUGACUGCUUCCCCUGAAAACUUGCGCAAUAGGGUACCUAGCUCUCUGGCCUUUUCUUUCUAAUGCACAAUUUAUGGCUUUUGGUAAUGAUGAUUUUAUGCUUGUGGAUCUCAGAUGGGUUUGUUUUGUUUUGGGAUUUUUAUAAAUGAAUGCAUUGAAAAUGUUGAAAGCUUAUGCCUUUGUUCCUUGGUUCAGUGUUCUGGUUUUGUGUACGUACGAGAGUUGAAAUGUGAUCUCUAGUAUCGGUAAAGAGAAAUGUUCUAACCAUGCUAGUGUUAGUAAUUUAUCUUCUAAAGUUGUUUGAGUACUUUACUCUCUUACUUUACUAACUAAGCAUAGGAAAUAACGACCUAAACUACCUGAUUUUCGUUAGUGCUUGUAAACACGAAAAUUCCUGUAACGAAUAACAGAAAGACAUGUGUACAAAAUAAUAUAUUUGUAUUGAUUGAAUUUGCGGGUUACAAUCUCUAUGGGUAUUCUUUUAACAAGAAUGUCCUCUGAUUCGAUCUCCGAUGUUGAUUUGAUCCAAGGGUGACAAGCACUUGAUCUUGAAUUGAACUGUUGUAGUUUGAACUUCUUAUUGUGUUGACGAUUUGUAGAAGGAAGUUGACCAAGGGCCAUAGAGGCUUGAUCUUGGUCGAAUAUGGGCCGCGAGAGGUGUCACGUGGUGAACGUUCUUCGACUUGAUAGCGGAUGAAUCGGCACGUGUGUUUGGUACUUGUUGAUUCUCCACGAGGUUGUUGAAGAACUUGGUAGAAGUUUUGAUUUGUUGAAAGACUUGAAGACGAGGGUUGAUCAAGGGCCGUAGAGGCUUGACGUUGAUCGAGUUUGGGCCGAGCAGUUCCACAUGGUGGUUGCUCUUCGUCUUGUAGUUGGUGAAGAUGUCAGCUAUUUGGCAACUUGGGACUCUUCGGGAUUUGACAACCUAUAGGCUUGAGGUUGAUGAAGAAUCAACUAUUUGGCAGCUUGAUGAUUCUUCAAGGGUUUUGGGAGAAUUCUAAACUCUCGGGAGUAAUUUUUCUCUCUUGUCUGAAAGUCGUCCUCUUGAUAUGAGAGGGGGUAUUUAUAGUGUUAAUGCUCCUCCGUAAAUGGAAUGCAUUGAAGUCACAGCUUUAAUUAUAUUUCCUUAAUGAUAUAAUUAAAUCAAUCACUUUUGAUUGAUUGAUUCAAUUAUUCAAUUUCCCAUAAUUAAAUCAAUCAGUCUUAAUUGAUCGAUUUAGUUAUGAUCGAUAAGGUAUUUCACUAAUUUGAUUAAAUUCCGACUUCCUUUUCGAUAAUUGAUUUGAUUUGAUUGAUGUUUGAUUAUCGAUUGACAUUUAAUAUUUUAUUUUAGUUGGGAUUGAUGAUUUUGUUGUCGACCGACCAUUCACACGCCGCCACGUGUUAUUUUCGAAGACUUUUCAACUUUGCUGACUCACGAGCCACGUAUGCACGAGACUUUUCAACGUCUCUAAUUUACAUAGUAAUUGACGCAAUUUGGCCGAACUGUUUCUAAACACACUAAGCUUCAGUUCUAUAUAUACCGCGUACCACAUGUUUCAUCAAGUGUCAGAUAAUACAGAACCUACUUCGCCAAAAUGGAGAAAAUUGAGGUCAGUAUAAUUUCCAAACACACCAUCAAACCAUCAACUUCCUCUUCACCACUUCAGCCUUACAAGCUUACCCUGCUCGACCAGCUCACUCCUCCAUCGUAUGUCCCCAUGGUAUUCUUCUACCCCAUUACUGGCCCUGCAGUCUUCAAUCUUCAAACCCUAGCUGACUUAAGACAUGCCCUUUCCGAGACUCUCACUUUGUACUAUCCACUCUCUGGAAGGGUCAAAAACAACCUAUACAUCGAUGAUUUUGAAGAGGGUGUCCCAUACCUUGAGGCUCGAGUGAACUGUGACAUGAAUGAUUUUCUAAGGCUUCCGAAAAUCGAGUGCCUAAAUGAGUUUGUUCCAAUAAAACCAUUUAGUAUGGAAGCAAUAUCUGAUGAGCGUUACCCUUUGCUCGGAGUUCAAGUUAACAUUUUCAACUCCGGAAUAGCAAUCGGGGUCUCCGUCUCUCACAAGCUCAUCGAUGGAAGAACUUCAGACUGUUUUCUCAAGUCGUGGUGUGCUGUUUUUCGUGGUUCUCGUGACAAAAUCAUACAUCCUAAUCUCUCUCAAGCAGCAUUGCUUUUCCCACCAAGAGAUGACUUGCCUGAAAAGUAUGCCCGUCAGAUGGAAGGGUUAUGGUUUGUCGGAAAAAAAGUUGCUACAAGGAGAUUUGUAUUUGGUGCGAAAGCCAUAUCUGUAAUUCAAGAUGAAGCAAAGAGCGAGUCCGUGCCCAAGCCAUCACGAGUUCAGGCUGUCACUAGUUUUCUCUGGAAACAUCUAAUCGCUACUUCUCGAGCACUAACAUCAGGUAUGUAAAAUCAGUUUAGCAACAAGCCAAAUACUAAAGCAACUAAAUAAAAACCUAUUGUAUUUGGGGUAGUCCCUUAUUAGCUGUUGUCCUAAACUUCUAACGAUAUGAACUUUUUUCUCAAAAGAAAAAAAUAGUACACUUAACAUUUUCUGUUAUAAUUUCAUACUUAUUUAUAUAUUUUUAUUACAUACAUAGCUCAAAGAAUGAGAAAAUAUAUGAACCUGCAGGUACUACUUCAACAAGACUUUCUAUAGCAACCCAGGUAGUGAACAUAAGAUCACGGAGGAACAUGGAGACAGUGUGGGAUAAUGCCAUUGGAAACUUGAUAUGGUUCGCUCCGGCCAUACUAGAGCUAAGUCAUACAACACUAGAGAUCAGUGAUCUUAAGCUGUGUGACUUGGUUAACUUGCUCAAUGGAUCUGUCAAACAAUGUAACGGUGAUUACUUUGAGACUUUCAUGGGUAAAGAGGGAUAUGGAAGCAUGUGCGAGUAUCUAGAUUUUCAGAGGACUAUGAGUUCUAUGGAACCAGCACCAGAGAUUUAUUUAUUCACGAGCUGGACUAAUUUUUUCAACCAACUUGAUUUUGGAUGGGGGAGGACAUCAUGGAUUGGAGUUGCAGGAAAAAUUGAAUCUGCAUUUUGCAAUCUCAUAACAUUAGUUCCAACACCAUGCGAUACUGGAAUUGAAGCGUGGGUGAAUCUAGAAGAAGAAAAAAUGGCUAUGCUAGAACAAGAUCCCCAGUUUCUAGCACUAGCAUCUCCAAAGACGCUAAUUUCAAGAUAUUGAUUAAGGAAGAUUAUGCGGCUCGUGCAAUGUUUCCAUUUUGUUGUGAUUAAGGCUUAAAUUAGUUCACCAGCCAAUCAAUAAGAUGCAAGUAUGAUAGACUCGGUCUACGUAUGUUAUCCGAAUGUGUUUCCACAUGCUUGUAACCAAUAUAGCUCUUGUUUGUAACAAUGCUCUAUUAAGCUCUUCUAUCCAUAAAGUUAUUUCUCUAUUAAAAAGAAAACUAUACAAGUUUUGUUAAGUUUUUAAGGUAAGAUGCAUGUAGUACCCAAAAAGAUGGUUGACCUGUCAUUAUUUUCAAGUACAUGAUUAUCCGAUACAAUUACAUCAAAUAUUUCUAUAGCUAAAAAGUAUGUAAUUUUGAUCCGUGACAACAUGAUUAAAAAGUUAUAUAUUAUGAUGCAUUUAUCCUCUAACGACAAGCAUGGUCAUAAUGUCUCACCUCAUCACCUCACCAAGCGCGGAUCCAGUUCACAAGUGGGUAAGGCUCAAGCCCAACCAAGAAAAUUGGGGGAAAAAAAAACCUAAGUAUAGAUAUAUAUUUUUUUGGGUGAUAUAUCAUAUAUGCCCAGCCAUCAAGUGACCAAGCCCAACCCACCUAACUCAACCCAUCCCACUAACUACCCAAGUCCACAAUCAUCACUCAUCACUCAUCCACCCAACCUCCUUCAUCGAAGGAGUCCUUUAACUAAUCAGCUUAAACACCAAGUCUAAAAGUCUUCCCUGCUCUUCCCCUCCGCCUCCACUCAGUCACUCACCUAUGACCUAUCCCGGCUAUCCGGCUAUCCCUCUUCCCCUCCAGUCCUCCACGGCUCCACCAUAAUCUCCUUCUUCCCGGCCUCCUCCGGUCCUCCGAUUCCUCCCGGAUAGCGACGACUCGCCUCCGGCGGUCCGGACCUCCGCGGCUCCGCCUCCAGUCCUCCACUCACCUAUCCCUCUUCCAGCUGCUAGAAAGCUUGUUCGAGACUUGGUCCUCCACAGACAACCCAUUAGUCCAUUACCCAUCUUUCUUCACUCUCAGCCAGCAUGGUUGUACUAGAAAUUUUUUUUUGGCCUUCGGCCAAAGUUCAAGCCCACCCCAUCUUUAAAUCAUGGAUCCGCCACUGCACCUCACCAUAGUGUCCUAUCCUCUUAGGAGAAGGUAGGCACCUAAUGCAAAGGCCUUUAUGAGAGACUAAUAUCGUCUGAUCUUCUUUUCUUAAUCAAAAGAAAUGAAAAUGGCCACAAUGCCUCACUAUUCAUAGAGCCAUACAAUACUCUGGAACAUAUGCAUGGAGACAAAGAAAAAUAACACAAGAACCAUUAUAAUUUCACUUUAUACGGGAAACUUAGCUAAAUCCGAAUCAUGGGCGGAGCCAACCCAGGUGAAAUUUUGAAGCCCAAAAAAUUACCUGAAACAUCGUCGUUUGGGUGUAGGUUAUUUCUCCGUUUACUUCUUCUCAAUCUUAGUCAUAACUCACACCAUUGCGUCCGUAGCCCGUCGUUGUCGCUAGAGCGGUCGCCAUUUCCCAUAGCCCGCGCCGUCGCCCGUAGACCACAUCCCGAGUCAGUCAGUCCCCACUUGGCUACUUCCCCAGGUAUGGCUCAAUCGGAUUGCUUAUAUUCUGAUCGUGGACAUAGCAGGCUUCAAUUCAAAAGCCAUCAUAUUCAUAUGCUUCAAUGUUGCUUUACUUCGUCUAUAACUAGAGUUUCAGCUUUGCUUCGUCUUCAAUGUUGAUAUGUUGAUAUAAAAUAUUAACUUGAUUAGGAUUUGUUGAUAUAGAAUAUUACCUUGAUUAGGAUUUGUUGUUAUGUAAUAUGUAUUAGGAUAUUUAUUACUCAUAUUAGGAUUUGUUAUAUGAUCUUACAUCCUUACGAAUGAAUAUACAUCAACACAAUCGAAAUCUGCAUGGUCAUAUUAGCCUUAACUAGUUCAGUCCAAUUCAUAUUAGUCUUAAACUAGUUCAGUCUAAUUCCUCAUGGGUAUAUGCUGAACUUUAAGAUGUUGAUCUUCUAUAAUAACUGAGUUCGAUACCAGAAAUCUUUGAUGAUUGUCCACAUAUGUUAUCUUAUAAUCCUAUAUUAAUUUGUACUAAUCUCAUAGUCUUAAUUUGAAAGCUCCUUAUACGUCUUAACUUGGAUAUGGAUGUGGAUUUGAUCUUAUUAUAUGUAAUAUUAAAGUGAAGUUGUUGUAUUACACAGAAUGUUUGAUGAAUAAAUAACAAAUUGAUCGCGUCAAAAGGCUAGAUCAAAAAAUUUCUUGCACCAUCGAACAAAUUUUCUUGUGUAUACAAUUUCAUGGUUCCGCCACAUUGGCAACAAAGAGUGAUUGGAAAAGAAGAACACCCAGAAAGAUAAAAACCAUAAAACUUGUUUAAGCGAAAAAAACAAAAGUAUGCCAUUCAUUUCUUCUUGCGGUUUUGUUAGGCCAAAAAUCAAAAUCCCAUGAUACCCAAUCAGUUACACACUCUCCCUCUCAAUCUCUACAGAACUGACUGCUUCCCCUGAAAACUUGCGCAAUAAGGUACCCAUCUCUCUGGCCUUUUCUUUGUAAUGCAUAUAAGUUCCUGUAAAUUUUAAAGCUUUUGGAAUGAUGAUUUUAUGCUUGUGGAUCUCAAGAUGAGUUUGUUUGUUUUUUUCGGGAUUUUUAUAAUGAAUGCAUUGAAAAUGUUGAAAGCUUAUGCCUUUGUUCCUUGGUUCAGUGUUUUGGUUUUGUAUACGAGAGUUGAAAUGUGAUCUCUAGCUUGACUGUUGGUAUUGGUAAAGAGAAAUGUUCUAGAAAACCAUGCUAGUAUUAGUAAGUUAUCUUCUAAAGUUGUUCGAGUACUGUACUAAGCAUAGGAAAUAACGACCUAAGCUACCUUAUUUUCGUUAGUGCUAGCUGCUAUGAGAAACUUACCCAAUUCGUUGUUAAAAAUAGGGAAAAUACCCAAAUACUCAAAAAUUAGAAAGCUAAAACCCAUUCCAAUGAAAUUAUAAUCCUUUAGCUCAUUCCUAUGUUACACCGAUACUCCACCCCACGGACACUCCAACACUCCCGACACACCGAUAUCGAUACGAUACACCAAAAUGUGUGUCCGACACGCCACGUGGCGUGUCAAAAAAAGUUGACUUUUUAGACACGUUACGUCAGCCUGAGACACGCCAAGUCAGUGUGUAUUGAUUGAAAAAAAAAAAUACAGAACUAAAAGUCUAAAACCUAAUCGAAGAGGAAGCCCACUUUAAAGAAGCCGCAUAGAAGAGGAACGAUGUCACCGUUCACUAUCACUGCGAGAACGACGUCGUCUGUCCAUGUCAGUGUGAUUGUUCCUCCGAUGACACCACUCUGCGAGAACGACGAGAACAGCGUCGCCUUUCUCUGUUACAGCGACUCGUCCUCCGUCGGCCUAAACCCUCUCUUUAGUGUAAGGUUAAUCUUAAUCUCAGCUUUGACGUGUUUGGUGAUUGCAGUCUCAUUUGCAGUAACAGAAAAGCAUAUAAGAUUUUAAUCAUUUUAUGAUCAUUCUGAUACCACUUAUAGAUUUUUAAGGCAAUGUGCUAUUGAAGCAUCUGCACUGUGAUGUUAAGUGUCAUGAUAUUGCUCAAUUGCUGAUAGGGUAGGAUGGAGCUAGACAUUUGAGACUUUGCAAAAUUGAGUUUAUACCUACUAGUAUUAGAUCAUCAAUUAGUUGAGAGUUUGUAGGAGGUCAGGUUUUAUACUUGGUGAGAAACAUCGGCUCAUCUGUAUUUGUAAGGAAGAUUUAAUUGAAAGGAGUUGUGUAUGGAUUGCUUAUUUGUUUAUCUUUGCUCUGUUAAUUGUUAAUAUGUUAUGAUAUGCUGCUGUGUCUAUGCUGAUGUGCUUAUGCUACUGUGUGUCUAUGCUACUGUGUCUAUGCUAUUGUCUUAUGUUGUUUUGUUGGAUUAUUAUGAUUAGGAUGAGUUCAAGUGCGACAUCUACUGAACCUAGUGUUGAAUCAACUAAGCCUGAAAAAUUAGAUGCUCCUCUAUCAAGGAUAAAGGAUGAUGCCAAUGCAUGCGUGCCUUGCUCUUAUGUAUUUUGAAUAUCUCAGUUAUGGGGUUUUAGGCAGUUGGUGUUAUUAUAGGGUUAGGAAAGUCGGAUUUUCAUUCAGUUUGAUGAAUGUGUUGAAUUAGAUAAAACUAUUUAGUAAUCAUCCUUUAGAUUAAAUAUUGACUCUCUUUUAUGUUAUUUGUUACAGUUAUGCAAUUGCUUAAAUUUAGAGCAUUAUUUAAGCAAUGUGAUAAAUUUAUUCAUAUUUGAGCAUUUUUUUAUUAAUUAGAAAUAUACAAAUAAGUAAUUAUAUUUGCCGUGUCUAAGCCGUGUCGAAAAUGUAGUCUUUGAGUUUUGCCGUGUCGCCGUGUCAGUACGUAUCGUGUCGCCGUAUCCGUGUCCGUGUCCAUGUAACAUAGGCUCAUUCCAAUGAUUCUUAUGCAAAAGACAUUAUUANNNNNNNNNNNNNNNNNNNNCUCUCUCUCUCUCUCUCUCUCUCUCUCUCUCUCCUCUCUCUCUCUCUCUCUCUCUCUCUCUCUCUCUCUCUCUCUCUCUCUCGGUGUACGACGAUGCAAGGUUGAAGACGCAGCCUCCUACUGAGUCGACGAGACCGCGCUCGUGGUCGUGAUUCUCCUCAACAGCGACAUCGAUUUUGGCGGCACCUCUCGGAGAUGAUCCUCAUCUGCCAGAACCUCUGCAACAAUCUCUAGAGCCCUAACGAGCACAUCCGGGGCGUCACGCUCCAGUUCCUCUACUGGUUGAGCAAGUUGGAGAUUGUCCGGCCGUUGAUUUCAUCGAUUUUGGCCAAUCUAGUCAGAGAUUGAGGUCUGUGUUUAGUGCAAACAUGGAUAACGUUCUUCUUCUCCUUUUUUUAUCGGAGAUCGUGUUUUUGUUUUUGUUUUGGUCAGAGAGAUUGUGGUUUUUUCCCCUUUUUUUUUCAAUAUAAUGGUUAUUAAAUGAUAGUAUCUUGAUUAUUGGAGUAAUUAGUCUAUUAUUGGGAGGUAAGAAGUAUCUAGUGGAGGUCAAUAAACAUUUAUUGACCCCAAUAUUGCUUUUAUAAAUUUUUUUUGAGAUGUAGGGAUUUGCCUUAGAGGUAAAAACUUCCUUUUUAACUCGAUUACUAGGAAUCAUUAACUGAUUAUUGAGGUUAAGUAACUGAUUAUUGAGGGUCAGUAAGUGAUUAUUGGGGUUCAGUAACUGAUUAUUGGGGGUUAAUAACUGAUUAUUGGGGGUCAUUUUGAGAGUCAGUAACCGAGUUAUUGGUGAUCAGAAUCCAGCAACCGGAAAAAAUCUGAGUUACUGGGGGUCAGUAACUAAGUUACCGGUUAUCGGAAUCAGGCGACCGGAGAAAAUAUGAGUUACUAGGAGUCAAUAACGGCGACCGAAGAAAUUUCUGGCAACCGGGGACCGGAAUCCGGCGACCGGCAACCAGAGUCCGGCGGCGGGUGACCGGAGUCCGGUGAGAUUCCGGCCAAGUAUUCUCUCUCUUCCACUUUCUCUCUCUAUACAUGUUGAAGUGGUGAGAGUAAAAUUGUCUUAAAAAUAUAUAAAAAUUAUUUUUUAUUAUAACAUUAGUAAAGAUUUGUGCAUAAAAAAUGUUACCUUAUAUUGGAAUGAGCUCAUGAAAAAGAUUAACAUUAAAAUGGGGAAUAAGAGGUUUAAAUUAGUAUUAAAUUGACAUUUUCCCUUUAAAAUAAUAACAGAACCAUCAAUGCCGUGAUAGUCCCUUAAUAUUUGGUGGCUAAUUAGUAAUGCAUUCAUGGUAGUUGUGCUUAUUUUGUGCAUGUAUUCUAAUUCUAUCACUUGCAAAAUCGUUGUGGAAGGUUAAGAGGAGAAAACAGAAAAUGGGGCAGCAUGCAUCUCAUUUUAUUUCCGAUCAUAUUUUCAUAUCAUAGACGUUCACUAUUUAGAUAUACAUGAGUUGAUCAUCUCUACAAAAUUUCAACUAAUUUAGUUAUCAUUAAGGUAUCGAAAAUGUAUUAAAUCAAUGAACGAACCGAAUCUGUUCAUCCUGAACUGUACGUUCUAUUAGUUCUAAAUCACAGUUUUGAAUGUCUUAAUGAUUAUCAACUUGGCUGAAAAUUUAUAUAGAUGAUCUACUGAUAUAUAUACCUAAAAUAUGAACGGUUGAGAUGAGAAAAUAUGAUCGAAAGUGGGACAAAUAAUGAAAUCCGUACCUUAGAUAAGGUAAGGAGGUCCUUACCUGAUCAAGAUUGUGUGUGUGUGUCUAUAGAGUUUAGGGUUUAGAGUUUUAGGGUGUCAUGAAGAUAUCAUACAUCCUAAUCUCUCUGAAGCAGCAUUGCUUUUCCCACCGAGAGAUGACUUGCCUGAAAAGUAUGCCGGUCAGAUGGAAGGGUUAUGGUUUGCCGGAAAGAAUGUUGCUACAAGGAGAUUUGUAUUUGGUGCGAAAGCCAUAUCUUCAAUUCAAGAUGAAGCGAAGAGCGAGUCUGUGCCCAAGCCAUCACAAGUUCAGGC